Molecule: long non-coding RNA, 72551 nt
Filed under: Manihot esculenta (cassava)
Lineage: Eukaryota; Viridiplantae; Streptophyta; Magnoliopsida; Malpighiales; Euphorbiaceae
Description: long non-coding RNA (MESC_LNC007890)
Source: RNAcentral
AGGGACAAACUCCUCUUAUGCUAUGACAACAAAGCUACCAUCAGUAUAUCUCACAAUUCGGUUCAACAUGACCGAACGAAGCAUAUAGAGAUUGAUUGAUACUUUACUAAAAAGAAAUUAAUAAAUAAUGUCUUGAGAUUAGAUCAUGUGACUUCUGAUGAACAGCUAGCUUAUGUGUUUACCAAAUGGCUCAACAAUAAGAUCUAUCACACCUUGGUUUGCAAGUUGUGCAUGUAUGAUAUUUAUGCAUCAAUUUGAGAGGGAGUGUUGACCAAAAUACAAGGUUCCUAAUUAGGAGGAUUCAAAUCUUUGGAAUCCUAAUUAGGCUUGAUUAUAGGGAUUUUAUUUUUAUUAUAAAUAUUUCUAAUUUAGGUUGAUUUUUUAUGUAUAAAUACUCAAACCUUGUAGAGAUUAAUUCAAUUGGAAUAGAAUAAAAAAUUCCUCAACUCUUCAAUAGAUAUGAGAGAGAAGGAGUUAACAUCCUUUGUGCUUAAAAUUUACUGCUUAGAAUAAGCACCAUCCUCUACAUGUGUUUUUUAUAUUUUGUCUUAAUGUAUUUAUUAGGAAAUUCUUGUUUAAGAAAAUGCAUUCUAGGUUAAACAUGCACAUUCAAAACAAACAUCACUCUUUUCACAUGAAUCUAUUCAGCCUAGCAUGUGAGGUUUCUACUUUAUUUUAGGUGAGACAUUAUUAUAUUUUCCUAAUCACAUGUUCCUAAGUCUAAUUUUAUGCCAAUGUCCACUUUGCACAUGAGUGGUGUUCCUAAGCAUGCACAAUUUUUAUGUUUGAUUCGGCACCUUGUAAAGAAAGGAUCACUAUGUUUGUGACAUACAUUUGGAGUUAAUUUUAUGGCCAUCUUAUUGUAAGGAUAUUACUAAGUCAUCUUCAUGCCAAAGUGAGAAACAAUCUCUAAGCAUGCCAACUAUGUCUCUAACAUGCCAAGUUAAUUUUAGAAUUACCAAGUGACUUUACCUAUCUUACUAGGUUUAUUUCAUUUAUUUUUUAGGUGAGGAAAGUAAGUAAAACAUCUAAAGAAAGGGAGAGGAGAAAAGAAUUAUAAUCCUUUAAGAGUAAAAUGAAACUAAGCUAGCUAUUAUAUACUAUUACAAGGUCCAUUGGCCAAAUUCCCUAUGUAAAAGACCUUCAAAGUUAGGCUCUUGGACCACCAAAGGAAUUGGACCCUUAAUGCAUUUCUAGGGCAAGCCAAAUGACACUCUAAAGGAAGCAACUUUCCAUGCACAAGGGCUAACCCAUUCGAAUAACAUUGAAUUAAGUUGUUGUUUUGCUUAUUUUUAUAACAAUUCAGAAACCAGACCGCUACAGAUGCUAGGGUUCAAAUCAACUUAAGGUUAUCAGAGACCGUAGAAAGCCUAUUAUACAUCUUAUUAUAUUUGAUAUAAUACCAAUUUGAUCAUAAAACUUACAUGCAUUAUUAUCAUAACAUGAACAAAACUCAGUAUGUGCAUAUAUCCAUAACUGAUAACAUAAAUCUAUACUAGAGCCCUCAUCAAAUGCUCUAGUAUAGUUAUCAUUACAUACCAUAAUUUGAUUCAAACAUAACUUAAAUUUAAAACUUUUACACAAGAAUAUCAUUAACUAGGGGAUCAUAAAAGAAAAACCUGGGCAAAGUACAGUACUAAAUCAUAGUAUAUUACAUGUUCAUAACUAAACUAUUACAUAAAGAGCUAUACCAAAGGACACUAUUGAACUCUUAUGCUAACUCUAAUCCUGCAAACCUAGAGUUAGGGGAGAGGAAUAAGCUACUAGAGCCUAGUUAGUAAAAAUAUGGCAUAAAAAAGUUUAAUAAAACAUAUGCUCACAUUAAUGUGUCAUAACAUAAACAAUUCACAUCAAAAUAGACUUGUCACCAGUAACCCUCCAUAAAUUCCAAUAGUGCUUGGCCCACAACAAGUGCUCCUUCGAACUUCUUCUUAAAAAUAAACAUAACCAUAACGCUAGAGGUGUAGAAUGGGUAUCCUGGUCUUUCCUUACAUAAUGUCAGGGGCAUAGAAUAUGUCUUGACCUAAACUUCCAUAUCUGUCAUAUAUAACAUAUCACAUCAUGCUCAAGGACUAGUGGAUCAUCCAACAUUCAUCAUCAACAACAAUUAAUUAUGCAAUGCAUCAUAUUCAUGAAUUCUAAUACAAAAUAAACUAUUCAUAUAUAUAUAUAUCCUUUGUGAUGCAUGAAUAUGCUUAAAAGCCUUUAAUUCAAUAAAAAAAAUAGUAGUUUAGUUAGUUCUACUCAUCUCUAGUGGACACUGCCUCUCUUUGAAGUAGUUAUCUCGCUAUUGGCCUUUAUUGUCUCCCAAGUCUGAUCCUACACAGACUUACUUAAAUGAGGGAUCAAAUAUAACUUUUAUAACUCUUAAAACUAUUCCAAGAAACUCUUAAAAGCUUAUUAGAAAAUACGUAAAAAAUGGACUAGUAUCGGCUGAAUAGGGGACUUUCGGCAGCAAGUUUGGCAGCCUAAAGUCCUCUACAGAUCUGAAAGUCCUAACUUUCAGAAGCCUUCAUAAGCAGGCUCGACUGCAUGCAGAACCCGAUUCUACCUCUACACCACAGCCUCUAGAACACAACCAAAGCCGUAACAGCUAAAAACCAUAUAUUUACAACUCAGAACACAAAAGACUAUUCUAAACUAACCUAAACUUCAACAUGCAUUCAUUAAAUCAAAGAGAUACGAAUUUUAUCUUUAAACAACCUAUAAACCAAAGCUUUAAACUUAAGACCAAUCACAUAAGUCAUAUGCAAGGGCAGAUGUUACAUAUAAGUUAAAAAAAACAUAAAUGGACCAAAAUUAAAGCCUACCUUAAACAGGUUCUUCUCUAACAACAACGAGGAAGGAGGAGAGGAUUCUUGAAAUGAAAACCUUAAACUUGAAAUUCCAAGAAUUUGGGCUGUACUGACUACUGCCUGAAAUAAAGAGGAAAUGCUCUCCAUUUUCGAGUAAGAAGCCCUUUUAUAAGUGGGUCUGCCAGCUAAUGUUCGGCGGUAAAACCUUAAAAUUUUCUAGAACUCUUUUUUAAAGAAAAACACAUUUUCAAAAUACUUAAAAUUCAUUUUGUAAAAACCCAUUUUACCCUUUUAAGAUUUUCGAUUAUGAGAUUCUGAAUUCCAACGAAGAUUCUUUUAGGAAUUUAGAAUUUUGACACCGAAAUUUAGUUGGGUUUUACUAUUUUGUUUGGUAGUUAUUGAUCCGGACAAGUAAAACUAUGCUUGAAUCUAGAGUGGUAAAAGAGAAGAGUGUGUGAGCUCAUUAAAGGGUAAAAGCCUUCUUGUUGAGUGAAAUACGAGUGCUUCCAUUAUGAUUUUGAGAGAAACACAUGAGGGAGUACGUGAGGUACUUUUCUAAUGUGUUUUUCAUAUUUAUAUCAUGUUUAAUUCUAAGGGUGGUAAAGAGAGUUAAAAAAGAUGAGAAGAGUAGUGAUGUUAAGCAAAAUACAUUUAUGACUCUAAAGGCCAUGCAACAUCAAUUUUAGAGAGUUGAGAACUUGUUUAGAGAUGUUAGUGACAAGUUUGAUAGACAAGGUCAAGCCAUUUGAGACAUGCAAAGGGAAGCUUCAAAAAUAUAGGAUCGACUAGUUAUACAAAGGAAAAUUGUGUCUAUAUGGCAUGGGGGCAGAAAGCUGUGACUGUAUCGCUUAGAAGUUGAGAAACUAUAUAACACAUGACGUAUCGAAAAUAUCAUAUCAUAUGGCCCAUUAGGGCACAAUACUACUAAACUAUAUAUGGCAUACCACACCCUUAUCCUGUUUAUGACUCAUACUAAAUUUACCAUGGGCAAGUAUCUUUAGUUUAAUAUCUCAAAUUAUUUAAAGUAAAUACAAAUGUCAUUUGAAGCCAUUUCAAGUCUUUUUUAAAAUAUAUACAUCAUAUAUCAAUGAUAACAAGAAGAGAAAUUCAUAGCAAAUAGUGUAUAACUUUAUCGACUUAGCAUUCCAAAUAUUGUAACAAUUCAAUUUGGCUUUUGCAUUUCACACUACUAAGAAGUAUAGAAUGGUAAAUUUUACUCACCUCAUAAUGCACAAUAAGUUUGAUUGAAAAGUGACCACGUGUGUAAAGCAAACACAUGUGUAAUUCCCACCGAUUAAUCAAGCAUGACAAACUGUAAGUUUAUAAGCAAGCAUGUUGAAAAAAUGAGCUCUUGAAAUCAUACAUGUGUGUGUAAUAGACCAUAUUCAGUUAUGAGUAUAUUGCUGAUUUAUUAAGAAAAUAUGUGUAAAGUUUUAUUUUAUUAAGCUAGCACGUGCAUAAAGCAGGCACGUCAAGCUAGCACGUCAAACUAGCACGUGCGUAAUUAAUUUGGUUGCAAAGUGAGCAUUUCAAUCCCUUUUAGGUCAAUAUUCAAAUUUAGAUUUGUUUCUGCCUGAUUUUGUGUCACAAUUUAAAGUGCCUUAGGGAUAGAAUUUGAUUAAACUUUCUUCAUGAACAUUGUGUGUUUAUACCUUAGCAUUCUAACAAGAUAUGGUACAUCUAAUUCUGAUCUUCCUAACUCAAGUUAUAAAUUUUUAUUUAUAAGCUGCCCAAUCAGUUUUUAACCAGUCCAGUGUUAGUACUUGUUUUUAGUCUAAUAAAACAUAUCAGAUGCAUACAUUUGCAUAUAAUUUCAAGCUUAAAUGUCUUCUAUAAAGUUUUAGGUAUAAUUUUCAAGAUUCAUUUAACACUAGUCUUAAUUCAUUUCAUUAAAUACAUAAUUAGUUAUGAUAUAAGAAAUAUAAAUUAUUUUGGAUGCAUUAUCCCUGCGACCAGUUUAGGUUCACUUGUAAUUUACAUAAAUUUAGCUAUAAAUUCAAAAUUUUAUCACUUCAUGAAAUCUUUAUCUCUUUGUCUCAACUUUCAUUUGGUAUAUUUUAGGUGUAAUUUUAAUAAACAUACAAUGAGUUAUGAAGCUGCCAAUAUAGGUUAUCCCAUUAAAACUUAUUCUACUAGAUUUGCACUUUUAAUUCCCAUAUUAAAUUUUUUUGCUUUAAACCUCUCAAACAUCAUUCCAACAUUCAUAUUACAUAUUUAUACAAUUAAAAUAAUAUUUUCAGCAAUAAAAAUCAAUCUCUAAUUUUACAUAUUCAUGAGAAAAUAAAAGAAAAAAUAAAAAAUCAUACAAACACCAAAUGUUUUUGCAAAAUUCUUUUUCUUUAAAAUUUCUUUGGUUUUCAAGUUUUGGAUACUUGAAACUCUAACUUUUCCUUCUUCAAAUAUUUUAAUUUAUAUCUUAUUUUCUUGCUCUUGAUAUAAAAAUGAACUUUGGUUGAAGGAUUUGGCUUAGAUUUGAUGGAAAUGAAGAAAACUAAGCUCACCUUUAUUCUUUCAUGUAGGGAUUUCCGCCAAGGCUUCCAAAAUAAAUAAUACAACAUUUUCUUUUUGCUUUAUCACUUAUUUUGAGUUUAUUUAGAUGACAUAUAGGAGGCUAAGUUGAAGAGGUAGUAAAAAUGAAGGACUAAACUUGAAUUCUACUUUUAAACUUUCUAUAUUCACACUUUAACCUACUAAACUCUUUACCAUAUUUUAGUUUAGUUUUUAAAUUUUUAAUAUUCAUUGAUUGACCUACUAAUAUUUACUUUUAACUUUUAAAAGUCCAUUUCAUUUAGGUAAACACAUCGAAUUUAACAAGUAUUUUAAGCUAACACGGUAAUGAACGUCCAUUAGUUUAAAGAAUCAAGAGACAUGUUCGAGGGCAAAUUUUUAUAUGUAUUUAAAAGUUUAUUAUUAAAUAAUAUUAUAAAUAUUAUAUAUAAUAAUUUCACAAUAUUAUGUAAAAUCUUUUUAAAGUAAUUAAUUAUGUAUCCAAAAAUGUGUUGCAUCACGUGAAAUAAAUAUACUUUUAAUAAUAGUCAAUUGACAAUAGAAAUAGAAAUGACCUUAUCACAUAUUUUGAAUGACAUUCCAUACAUUUUCAGUUUUCAUAAAUCAUGAUUAGUGUCUAGUAUAAUAUGCCAUGGCUAUCCUAGUAGCAGUAAAUGUACUAUUCCUUCAAUCCGAACCAUGAUCAUAAAUUAUCAUGCUCUAGAAUUCUUUCGCUGUAGAAUUCCAGUCCAAAUUAGGGUCACGAUAAAUAUCAAACCCCAAAACUUUAUAACAUAUGACCAUUGCUUAAUUCAAAUUAUUGAUUAGCAAAACUUACAUUAUAAAAUAUUUUCUAAUUAAGAUAUUAUCUCGCUCAAGGAUUUAUUAUCAAGAAUAAUUAACUUGAUCAUAAGAUUUUGCCUAUUUAUAUGAGGUAACGAAUCCUGCCUUGACUGACUCCUUACAUUUCUGUACAACUUAAACCAACACUCACCAUAUUCUCAUACAUUAUACAAGUAUGUAAAUAGUAUCAAACUCAAACCACUUAUACAUGAGACAAGUGCAGUUUCAGGUCUAUGGACUAUAUGCAUUACCAUGAUCUAGAUGAACGAACAAUGACAAGUGCAGUCUCAGGUCUAUGGACUAUAUGCACGGCUCUAGAGUAUAUAUUUUUGAUGCAUAUAUUAUAUAAUAAUAAACUUAUAAAUCUCAUUAUAUAUGUAUUAUCAUUAUAUAUUCCAAUAAAAUAUACUCCAUCUGUCACAUAAUUUUUAUCUAUAUUUUAUUUUUUGAUUAUCCUAAAAUUAUUAUCUAUUUUUAAACUAUAAUAAUAUAUAAGUUGAUUAUUAUAAUCCUAUUUAAUUUUGUCUUAUUUAUAAGAAACUUCAAAACCUAUCUUAUUAUUUAAUAAAACUUAAUACAUUUCAGAUGGAUAUAAUUGAAAAAUUAAUAAAAAAUUAUAUUUCUUGUGAAAAAGCAUAAUAAAUAAAAAUUAUGGAAUAAAAAAAUAUUAUAAUAAAAUAAAUAUUAUUUAUUACCAUAACAAUAAAAAAGGAAUAUUGAAAAUGUAGAUCUAAAAAUAUAUUUACAUGUAGUAUGAGUAAUAAGUGGUCUAUGAUUUGAGGGAAGACUACUAAAUUGCUAAGGUUAAAGAAAGACGGUAAUGACAUAACUCAACAAAGGAGUUUUGCUUGUAUCACAUUCUGUUUAUAAAUUAGAAAAAAUUUCAAUAGGUAAAUUAUAUUUCAUCAAAAAAUAAAAUAAAUAAAUUCACUUGUUUCACAGAAUUAUUCUUAGUUAUGUCUUUUCCUCUUUACUUUUUAUAUUCUCAUUUAGAGAUGGAGUAUAUGGGGAUCAACAAGAUUCUAAAAUCAGGGAAUUAGCUGAUUUCAAUCAUUUAAAAGAUAAUUAAUGAAAAAUUAGAUGAAAAAAUUUCAAUUUCAUGUCAAUAGAAAAAUAUAUGGCUUAUUUUGAUAUAACUUGGACUUAAAAUUAAUUUAUGAUUUUUUUUUUUUUAUAUUUAACGAAUAAAACGACCGUGUUUAUUGGUUAUUUAUAUAAGUAAUAUGAUAAAAUUCCACGUAUAAAACCCGAAAAGAAUAGGCAAGCAAUAAAAAACCCCCCCGAAACCGUAGCUUUAUAUUUUUUGGGAUUAAAAAAAAAAUCUCAGAUUCUUUCUUCUACAGUUCAACUGGACUGCCACUGAAGCUUGCUCGUUGUCUCCCUCUGGUAAGCUCCCCCCUCUCUCCCAGUCGCUCUCACUCACUCAAGUUGAAGAAUUCUGUGGAUAGGCAUAUGCAUGUCUUUAUGUAUUUUGGCGCAUGAUUCAUUUGAUUUGAUUUGAUUUGAUUUUUGGUGUGUGUUUGGUUCCUGAGAAAUGGAGGAAAGGAAAUGAAAAAAUACGGAAUUUUCUUUCCGCGUUUUGUUUUUAUUGUUGAAUGGAGUUGAGAAGUGUGCAAAGGGCAUGGACUUCAACUGAAUUGAGAAUAUAAUCUUAUUGGGAUUAGUGGUUGCUUCUUUCUUUUUCUUUUUCCCAUAUUCCCUCGUUUGGGCGCUCCUCUUUUUUUUUUUUUCCCCUCACUUUACUGAAGUUAUUUUGCUGUCUCCAGUUUCUCGGAAAUGUCUUUUCUCUUUAUGUGUGUUUGUGUCUCAAACCAGUUCUUUGGAUUUUUAGUGGCUUUGGGUUUUUUCUUAGCAGAUAACUAGUCAUAUGAUAUGCAUAGCUGUAACUUUACUUUAUAUCUAUCUCUUCUCUCUUUGUAUUUUUCUGUCAUAUGAAUUUGAAUUGAGGCUUAACUUCAUCAGCAAUUGUUCUAACUGUUGUUUUUUCAAGGAAGUGUGGCCAAAGCUAAUUACUAAAAUUUGCUUCUCUCUAUUUUUUGUUAAUAUAUUCUGAAUAAACCUUCUAUAAAUGGAAGGAAAUAUACUUUGAAUUCCUUUUCUGAGCAUUGAGAAGCGGCAAUGCAUUGGGGGGUUCAAAUAAAAAAGAAAUGCAUUGGGGGGUUCAAAUAAAAAAGAAGUCUUCCUGUUGAGGCGAAAUUUUAGAUAUUUUGUUCAGGUGUUUAGAUAAUCUCAGUUGUUUGACUAGCUGCUUCUUUGAAGAUAUUCAAUGGUAAAAUUUUGCUUUAUCAAAAUGUUAAUCUCAGGGCCACUGACUCCAAUUGGUGGUUUCCAGUCCGUUUCAUUUUUCCUUUUGGGAUAAACUCUGCUAGUUUAAGCUAAAUUUUACUUCACUUGCCACAGGCUCAGUAUAAUAUGAAUUUGCUGGGAAAUUCGCCAAAUGUUUCUUCUCUGCUCAAUCAGAGUUUUGGAAAUGAGAAUUCAAGCACCAGUCUGUCAAGCCUGGGGGGUUUUCAGCAUGGAAUUGCAGAUACUAUGAUAGAAUCUAAUCCAGUUUCUAAGGUACCAAAUGAUGUUGGUUGCACUCCACCUUCUGCACCUACAAAGUUGUUGAAUUCUGUUUCUUCUAGCCAAAUUCCAAGCCAUUCUGGAAGCUCAACAUUGUCAGAUCAGCAGCAAAUUCAAACAUUUGAGCCACGGAGGUUCCAACAUGGCCAGCAGUCACUGCAGCAGUUUCCUGUUUCAUGCAGUCAAGCACAACAACAACUGCCACAGUUCCAAUCUAUUAGAGGCGGGUUAGGAGUGGGGGCGUCUGUAGUCCCUGUCAAGUUGGAGCCAGACGUAAUGAAUGAUCAAAUUGGCCUGCAGUCAAAGUUGCUGCAAAGCCUUGGUCCAGUGAAGCUAGAACUGCAACAGAAUCAGAUUGGAAGAGGCAUAGGACCUGUAAAAUUGGAAAAUCAGCAUUCUGAUCAAGCACUGUUUCUUCAGCAGCAGCAGCAGCAGCAGCUCCUCCACAUGUCCAGGCAGUCUUCUCAAGCUGCCAUUGCACAGAUGAAUUUCUUAUGGCAGCAGCGCAUUUUGCAGCAGCAGCUGCUGGGACCACGGCCUCAGCCACAUCAGCAGUCUCAACAACAGAAAGGGCCCAUUAGAUCUGCUGUGAAACCAAUCUAUGAACCUGGAACCUGUGCUCAGCGAUUGAUUCAAUACAUGUAUCAGCAGCAGCAUAGACCUGCUGUAAGAUUAUUUUUUCUUGGGAACUGAAUAUUUGUCAGCCUUUGUUGUCUUACCAAUUUUUUUGUUGUGAUUGAUGCUUUAUUCAGGAUAACAACAUUGUGAUUCUUUAUUCAGGAUAACAACAUUGAGUUCUGGCGGAAAUUUGUUUUGGAAUUUUUUUCUCACAAUGCCAGGAAGAGAUGGUGUGUUUCAUUGUAUGGGAAUAGCCGCCAAACUAAUGGUGUUUUUCAUCAGGUAUGUGUGAUAAAGGCCAAUUAGUUUAUACUUAGUGAGGGAAAAAAACAGAUGUUUUCUGGGGAAAGAGGCAGGGGAUAAAAAGGCCAUUGCUCAUUUAUGGGAUAAAAGAAUUUUUGGUGGUCUAUCUUUAUUAGCAUUAACUAGACCCACUUUUUUCCCUCACAUUUUACUGUGAUAGGGAUGAUGAUCAUGUGCACUUAGAUUAUAUUAAUGUGUAGUUUCAGAUCCUGGAUGUUUUCCUGUCUUAUACUACUUUUUUAAACAAGUGGCCUCAACAUGUGCUCCUGUUUCAAUGCCCUUGCGUGCCUGUAUAUUAGAAUUUCUUACUUUCUGGUGUGCUUGUGACAAGCUUGUGAUGAAAGUUAUCUGAUGACUAGGAAAUGCUUAUGUUAUGGUAUCAAAUUUCUUCUGUUGAUCUAAUAGAAUACUUGUAACAUACUUGCAAUGUUUGCAGGAUUUAUGGCAUUGUGAAAUAUGCAAUCGCAAACCUGGUCGUGGUUUUGGUAUGCUAUUUUUUGCUGCUUCAAUUUUUUUGUUAUUUUCCAUUAAUUUAUGGGAGACACUUGGUGCUUUUUGUCACUUUGAGUAAAUUAUGCCACUUAGUAUGUGUACAUUAUUCAAUUUCUUUCUAACUAUUCUGCAUCUUGUGUUGUGGAGUGAAGUUCAGAAUUUCUGGUUUGUGCUUAGGUUCUUUGAUAUAUCCACAAUAUUUUCAAUUUCAAGGUUUUACAGCUGGACAUUGGUGGAUGCAUUACCCCUUAGGAUCUGAAAAACUUUUUUUUUUAAAAGUUUUUGUUUCAAUGACUAGAACAAGCUUGCUUGCUUCAUGAUAUGAUAGUGUUUUAUUCAAAGGUUAGAAACUUUAUCCUUUACCUUCAACUAAAGAUGCCACAUUGCAGGCAUUUAUCUUGAUGAAGUUUAGGGUUUCUGUUGCAUCUGCUUUAGUUGAUUAAUGUUGCCACAUACAUGGUGGGUUACAGAUUACAUAUGAGUUGUUGCCUUCUCAGAAUAUGUCAAAAGAAAAAGCUUUGUUGAAGAAUUGGAUGAAAUGAUUACUGAAAUGGCGUGAAUAAUUUGGAUAAUUUGCUUGUGGCAAAGCCAAGGGUGAUACAUUGCUAAACUCAUGAAAUACAAUAGAAAAGAAAGUAAAAGGAAAUCUAGCUCAAACUAGCCCGGCCAAAGCCGAAUUACAUUAAUUAAACCAUGCAUACCCUCUCUGCUCUCUCCCUCUUCUUAAAACCCUUCUGUCAUGAUAGCUCACUCCCCUCUAGACGGUCGCUCCGCAAUUUCCUCUAACCGUAUAACCUCCUCGAAACUUUGAUGAAAAGAGAGUAGAAGAUUUGAGAGAAAAAUGCUUGAUAAUUCCCAUCAAGCCAAUUGGGGUAUAUAUACUACUUACAAGAGUACAUACUAGGUAAGAAAAUAAAUUAAUUCCCUAAUUAUAGCCUAAUCAUAUCCCAAUCAUAUCACACAAUCAUAUUCCUAAUUAUCACUACAAAUCUAGGCUAUUUACAGAAAUAAUCUCAAUAUAUAGAAAUAAUUUCAACACUCCCCCUCAAGCUGGAGCGUACAUAUCUUAUGCUCCAAGCUUGUUACAAAUAUACUCUAUUCGUGAUCCUCGAAGUGAUUUUGUGAACACAUCAGCUAGUUGAUCAUUUGAGUUGACAAAGCUAGUAGAAAUGCAUCCGGACUCAAUCUUUUGCCUAAUAAAGUGGCAAUCCACCUCUAUAUGCUUCGUCCUCUCAUGAAAACUGGAUUUGAUGCAAUAUGGAGGGCUGCUUGAUUAUCACAUAUCAACUUCAUUUGACCAAUAUCGCUAUAUUUCAAUUCCUGAAGGAGUUGCUUCAACCAAAUGAGUUCACAUGUCCCUAAAGCCAUAGCUCGAUAUUCUGCUUCUGCACUUGAUCUUGCUACCACACUCUGUUUUUUACUUUUCCAGGAUAUAAGAUUCCCUCCAAUCAUAAUACAAUAUCCUGAAGUAGAUCGUCUAUUUGAAGGAGAACCUAUUUGAUGCAAUAUGGAGGGCUGCUUGAUUAUCACAUAUCAACUUCAUUUGACCAAUAUUGCUAUAUUUCAAUUCCUGAAGGAGUUGCUUCAACCAAAUGAGUUCACAUGUCCCUAAAGCCAUAGCUCGAUAUUCUGCUUCUGCACUUGAUCUUGCUACCACACUCUGUUUUUUACUUUUCCAGGAUAUAAGAUUCCCUCCAAUCAUAAUACAAUAUCCUGAAGUAGAUCGUCUAUUUGAAGGAGAACCUGCCCAGUCUGCAUCAGAAUAGCCAACAAUUUGUGAGUGACCCUUGUCCUCAUAGAGUAGUCCUUGUCCUGGAGCUCCUUUGACAUAUUUGAGAAUGCGAAUGACUGCAUCCCAGUGACUACUGUAUGGAUUUUGAAGAAAUUGACUAACUACACUUACAGCAAAGGAAAUAUCUGGUCGAGUGAUAGUGAGAUAAUUGAGCUUGCUGACCAAUCUUCUGUAUCUAGCAGGGUCUUUAAGUGGUUCCCCCUGUUCAGGAACCAGUUUGACAUUUGGAUCCAUGGGAGUAUCCACAUGUCUACAGUCUAACAUGCCUGUUUCUUCCAAUAUGUCCAAAGCAUAUUUUCGUUGAGAAAUUGCGAUACCUGUUUUAGACUGUGCCACUUUAAUCCCUAAGAAAUACUUCAAUUUUCCAAGGUCUUUAGUUUGGAAAUGACUGAACAAAUGUUGCUUAAGCUGAGAGAUUCCAUCAUGGUCAUUUCCUGUAAUGACAAUAUCAUCAACAUAGACCACCAAGUAGAUGCAUCUAUAUAUUGAGAUUAUUUCUGUAAAUAGCCUAGAUUUGUAGUGAUAAUUAGGAAUAUGAUUGUGUGAUAUGAUUGGGAUAUGAUUAGGCUAUAAUUAGGGAAUUAAUUUAUUUUCUUACCUAGUAUGUACUCUUGUAAGUAGUAUAUAUACCCCAAUUGGCUUGAUGGGAAUUAUCAAGCAUUUUUCUCUCAAAUCUUCUACUCUCUUUUCAUCAAAGUUUCAUGGUAUCAGAGCCAAGAAAUUUGGUUCACCUUUGAGUGGCAGACCUGCCACCUUACUUUGGUGACUUUCUGGAAAUCAGUUAGUCUCACCACCCAGCCCAUUCCCCACGCCGGCCUCUGAUCUAUUUUCCGGCGAAGCACCGCCUCCGGACGGGCCUCCACGCGCCACCCUGCACAGAUUGCUUCCGGCCACGCACCGGCGCGUGCACCACUUUCCGGCGACCGUUUCACGCCGGCGAUCCUUCUCCCAGCUUCGCCCGGCUCCGGCGACCACAGCCCAGUAGGUCCGGUUGUCAGAUCAGCCCGCCUUCACACGUUAGAUCAUCCACGCGCGGAUGCGUGCACAUCCUCCGGCGACCGUUUCAUGCCGGCGACUCUUCCUCCAGCCUCGCCCGACGCCUGCGACCCCAGCCCAGUAAGUCCGAUAGUCAGAUUUACUGUUCACAGGCGCUUUUUUGGCAAAUUCGGCUCCUUUUUUGCAGAUUCGGGUCUCUAUUUGGUCCCUUGUUGUUUCAGAAUCUCUCUCGACAUGUCUGAGAAGCAAAACACCCGCAAUACAGGUUCUGAGUCUCUUAAACUUGUCUUUCAAUUGCUACGGUUAAGUUGCAAGGGAAUAAUAAUUAUGUGUCUUGGGCUGCAUCCGUAGAAUUAUGGUUUGUGGGAAAGGGAUAUAAUGAUCAUUUAACAAAAAACGCCACUGAUAUCACUGUAAUUGAUAGACCCAACUGGGUUAAGAUUGAUGCUCAACUAUGUAGUCUUUUGUGGCAUUCGUUGGAUCCAAAAUUGCUUGCUUUGUUUCAAUCUUGUAAAACUUGUUGUAAGGUUUGGACUAAGGCCAAAACGUUGAAUACUAAUGAUAUACAAUGCAUCUAUAAGCUUGUGUCAGAUAUGGUUCACUUAUAAUAAAAUCAUCAGGAUAUGGCUAGUUACUUGGGUCAAGUAGACACUCUGAAAGAUGAAUUUAAUUCUCUUAUGCCCCUUACUAAUGUUGUUGAUGCGCAAGAAGGACAACGUGAUAAAUUUUUUAUGGUUUUGGCAUUAAUUGGAUUGCGAUCUGACCUUUGCUCUGUGAAAGAUCAAAUUUUGACUGGUUCAGUUAUUCCAACUUUAGAAGAUGUGUCAGCUAGGCUCUUACGUAUUUCCCUUAGUAAGAGUGAUGCUACAGAUAUGGAAUCCUCAGUCUUGGCUGAACAAGGAAAUCAAGGACAAGGAGGCAAUCGCAAAGGUAAAGGAAAGAAAUUUCAUUGCACUUAUUGUGAUAAAAAGGGUCACACACGGGAUGCAUGUUGGGCACUACAUGGCCGACCACCAUGGUCCAAUCAAUCUGAUAAUACUGGCAAGCCGGCAGCCCAUCUUGCCCAAUCUAAUGAAGGUCUGCUUCCACAACCUACCUAUAAUUCUCAGAACCUAGAUUCAAUUACUUUAAUUGGAGAGGACUAUAAAGAAUACUUGUAGUUCCAAGCAGCUAAGCAACAUCCUCCAUCUACCAGCAUUGCUCACUCCGGUAAUUCCUUUGCUUGUCUAACUAAGUCUUCACCUGUUGGUCCAUGGAUCCUAGACUUUGGUGCUUCUGAUCACAUCUUUGGUAAUCACAAUCUUUUCUCUACUCUUGUUUCACCUUCUACACCAUCUAAAGUCACCCUAGCUAAUGGUUCACAAACUCAAGUUAAAGGAAUAGGAGAUGUACAACUUCUUUCUUCUAUUCCCUUAACUACCGUCUUGUUCACUCCUGAAUGUCCAUAUAAUUUAAUCUCCAUUAGCAAAUUGACCAAAAACCUUAAUUGUUCAGUAACCUUUACUGCUGAUUCUGUUGUUGUGUAGGACCGAAGUACUGGGAGAAUGAUUGGAACAGGAUCUGAGUCACAAGGAUUGUACCACCUUUCCACCUCUUCAGUUGCUUUUGUUUCUACUACGUCCGCUGAGUUUAUUCAUAACCGUUUGGGACAUCCUAGUCUUCUCAAAUUGCAGAAAAUCGUCCCCAGUCUUUCUUCUUUGUCUUCUUUGUCCUGUGAGUCAUGUCAACUUGGGAAACAAACUCGGGCUUCAUUUCCCAAGCGAGUCAAUAACAGGGCCACUUCGAUGUUUGAUAUUGUUCAUUCAGAUAUUUGGGGUCCAAGUCGUGUCAGUACAACUUUGGGAUUUCAGUAUUUUGUUACUUUUAUUGAUGAUUAUUCUCGUUGCACUUGGUUGUUUUUAAUGAAGAAUCGAUCUGAGUUAUUCUCCAUUUUUCAAAAAUUUUGUGCUGAGAUACAUAAUCAAUUUGGUGUUCGCAUUAAGGUUUUGCGUAGUGAUAAUGCACGAGAAUAUCUUUCCUCCUCUUUUUCUCAUUUCAUGUCUACUCAGGGUAUUACUCACCAGACUUCUUGUGCCCAUACUCCUCAACAAAAUGGUGUUGCCGAGCGCAAAAAUCGGCAUUUGAUUGAAACCGCCCGCACCUUACUUAUACAUCAUAAUGUUCCGCUGCGUUUUUGGGGCGAGGCGGUCCUUAUUGCCUACUAUUUGAUCAACCGUAUGCCUUCCUCUGUUUUGCAGCAUCAGAGUCCUCAUUCGAUUCUCUUUCCUAAUCAGACCUCCAACCAGUUGUCACUGCGAGUUUUUGGAUCUAUAUGUUUUGUUCAUGAUCAUACCCCUGGUAAAGACAAACUCCAGCCCAAAUCAGUUAAAUGCGUCUUUCUUGGCUAUUCUCGGCUUCAAAAAGGUUACAAAUGCUAUGAUCCCACUACCAACAGAUAUUUUGUCUCUGCAGAUGUCACCUUUUUUGAAACCUCCCCUUACUUUUCUUCUAGUCCAACGCAUAAAACCUUUGUUCCUAGCGCUUUGCCUGUACCUACACCUCUUAUAUCUCCCACCAUGAUUCUUUUUCAACUGUCCUUUAUGAUAUUCUUCCACUGGUCCUUCCUUCUGAUUCUUGAAUUUUUUUUUUGUAUUACACUCUUAGAGGCCGGGGCUGUGUAGCUAGGUUCCUUAUUCUUGCCACUGUCACUGUUGCCUCUAUCAGUAUGUUUGAGAAGCUGGAAUUCUGGUUGAUUUUAUUAACUCAAUCUGUCUCUUUAAAUAGAGAUUACAUACUAAAGGAAACCAAGUAGAAAUAGAAAGACAAUAAUUAGAAAUCCUAAGGAUUCCUUUAAAACAGUAAAUCAAAUCAAUUAAGAAAACUUAUCAAGGAAAUGCUGCUGAAAUCAUGCUGCAAUAUCAACCAGGAUCAAUCAGAUAUGCUGUAUAGGCUGCUGAAAUUAUGCUUCCAGCCAUGCUAUCAAUUUUUGUCAAUUCCUUGCUUUCCUUGUUGACGUCUGCCAUCUCUGCCUACAAAUGCUUCUGCAACACAAUGUAUUAAUCUUCUAACACUCUUCUUCAGCAAGAGCUUAACAUUCUGCUCAAUAGUAUCUCUGGAGAUUAGUGUUUAUAAAGGCACUCUGAUAUAGCUAGGAGUUGAAGCAACUUGAAAACAAGAAAAAAAAGCUAAAUGAAUUGUAAACAUGAGACUCAAGAUAAUUUACCAGAAACAAGAGGUGCUAUAACUUUGUGCAUUUGCUAUUCUGCCCAAUAGCAUCUCUGGAGAUUAGUAUUUAUAAAAGCACUCUGAUAUAGCUAGGAGGUGAAGAAACUUGAAAACAAGAAAAAAAAAAAGCUAAAUGAAUUAUGAUUUAUGAAGCUGAGACUCAAGAUAAUUUGCCAAAACAAGAGGUGCCAUAACUUUGUGCAUAUGCCAUUCUAUGAACACCAGAAAGGUAUAAAAUAUUUCGUGCUCUUUUCCUGUCAACUUGUUCUAGGCCAGAUGUACAUGUUCCUUUGUUAAGAUUUUUACAGGUCCCUGAGCCUUGCUUAGUUGCUAGUGGUGUAGCUGGAUAUUAUUUGGUUGAAACGUCAACUAGAGAAGGGGUAAAAAUGACAUCAAUGUAUAGCAUGUUAAGGGAUGAUUUUGAAGUCAUUUAGCUGCAUGAUUAGAACUCCCAAAAGCAAGUAUUAGCAUUAAUCCAUUAUGAGGGUUGAUAGAGUGUUCCCAAUGGAUGAGGCUCUUUGCUUUGUGAGGGUUGGGAGAAAAUUGUGCGUGUUGGUUAGUUGCUAAAGGUGUGAUAGUAGAAUUGUAUGUGGUUGAAACUUCAACUAGAGAAGGGGUAAAAUGUGGAGCAUAUUAAGAGAUGAUGUGAAAUCAGUUAGCUGCAGAUUUUUUAGCCAUGAUUAUAACUCCCAAAAGCAAGUUUUAGCAUACAAAUGGAAGCAUUACAAAUGCAGGGACCUAACAAAAAUGUAAAACACUAAUACUCAACUUCAGAAUUCUUUGGUCAUUAAUCCACUAUGAAGGUUGUUGACUCCCACAUCGGUUGUGGAAAGGGGUAAUGUGUCCUUUAUAUGGGCCAUAGACACUCCUCCCCUUGAGCUAGUUUUUGGGGUGAGUUAGGCCUGACCCAAAUUUAACAUGGUAUCAGAGCCUCCCCAUCCGAUGUUGGGCCUCCCAUAAAUAUGUCUCGCACCAGUAAAAUUCUGAGCGUGAGGGGGUUGUGUUGAAUCCCACAUCAGUUGUGGAAAGGGGUAAUGUGCCCCUUAUAUGGGCCAUAGGCACUCCUCCCCUUGAGCUAGCUUUUGGGGUGAGUUAGGCCUGGUCCAAAUUUAACAAAGGUUGAUAGAGUGUUCCCAGUGGAUGAGGCUCUUUGCUUUGCCAAGGUUGGGAGAGAAUUAUCUCUAUUGAAUGCAAACAUCUAUUAGGGUUUUAUCCCUAACAGGAGAUUGCACUCAGUAUAAGAAGAUUAGAGAAGAAAGAGAAGAAUUGAGAGAGAUUAGAGAUAGAAUUUAGGAAGAAGAGAGGAGAAAAUGAGAGAUUUAGGAGAGAGAAAGAGGAGAUAUUAUUUGGAUUCUUGAAUGCCUUUACUAGUGAGUCUCUUUACAAUUUAUAGUAGUACUCAUCUUAUUGUAACAGACUCUAACAACCUUGAGAUCCUUCCCUCCAAAACCAAUUGGCACAACUGAAACUCCCUCCAAAAGUAACUAAUAACGGCUUUAUCUUUAUUGUUAUAUCUCUUCCUAUAAUACGUGACAAUAACCUCUCCAUGGUCACUUUCUUGACCCCAAGAAGGUGCAAAUUUUGGAAAUUUCUUUAGAGAUGUAGGCUAUUGGGUGCAUGGUUUUAUAUCGCGGUCGCGAGUAAUGGAAACAGGUUUGUAACGGCUGAACGUAAUGGUAAUGGCUUGGUGCUAUGCAAAUUUUUCAAAAAAAUUUGUAAAGUUCAUAAAAUGAAAUAAUAUUGAUUAGAUUUAAUUUAGAACAAUGUAUACAAAUGCAUAAUAAAUGUAAAUACAUCAAAUAUAGAUUAUUUAACUAAAGUUAAAGAGCAUUUAGUUUAAAAUAAGAGAAACCAACAUAAUCUUUAUAGAUCGAGUAAACUAAUAGCUUAAAAUACAAUUUAAACUCAAAACUAACACUUUAAUCCACAAAAAAUUUAGGAAAAAAAUAGCUACUGUAUAAAAAAUUUAAUAACUUUUUAGAGGAAAUAAGCUUGGAAAUGCAUUAGUUUAUGAGGAUCAAACUUAUAUGAGAAUAUGUAGUGAAGAUUGAAAUUUGAAAGAGAAAUGGAAGGAAAAACUUAAAAAAAUAUUGCCUUUGAAGCUACUGAAAAGUGUGGAAACUGAUAAAAAUGAGAAUAGGGGUAGAAGAUGAGAGAUAUAAAAGAAUUUCAAUUAUUGGUAACGGCCGUACCAUUACUUUUCGGUGGGUAACGGCCGUUGCCGUUACCAUUACUUCAUGGUCGAUAACGGUCAUUGCCAUUACUAUUACGUAACGACUGUAACGGCCGUUAUGCCGCAGCUCAAGGGGCUGCUGUAUAACAGGGUAAUGGGUAACGACCCUCCCAAAACCCAUACUGUUAUGUAAUGUAAUGACUGUUUUUUAAAACCAUGAUUAGGUGUCCUUUUUGCUGCAGAACUGCCCCUAUUCCCCACCCACUAGCAUCUAUUUCUAUAGUGAAGGGAUGAGCAAAAAAUCUGGCAUGGCUAGGACAGGGUGCUGCCAUUACUCUCUUAGUUCACAGAAUGCCUCUUGAGCCUUGUCAUUCCACAAAAAAAAAAUCUUUCUUAAGCAGAUUAGUUAAAGGAUUGCUAAUAACCCCAUAAUUCCUCACAAAUUUCCUGUAGUAUCCCAUUAGCCCUAGGAAACUCCUUAUUUGCUUCAGAUGCCAAGUCACCAUUGCCUGGCCCUUUUUGGGGUUUGUUGCUCUCCUUUCCCUGAUAUGAGAUGACCCAAAUAUCUCUAGAGGACCUUUCGUUGGCUGCUUCGAGGUUACUUAGCUUAUCCUUAACCUUUGAUGUGUUCCUCUGGAAAUGUUCCCGAAGGAUUCUCACUUGUUCUUCCAUUUUUGCAACCUUCACCUUUUCUGGACUUACAAUCACUGAUCAAUGGAACUCACUAGACUAGUUUGCUUCUUGUUCCCACGCGAAACCUUGCUCUGAUACAAUUGUUAGGGUUUUAUCCCUAAUAGGAGAUUGCACUCUAUAGAAGAAGAUUAGAGAAGAAGAAAGAGAAGAAUUGAUUGAGAUUAGAGAUAGAAUUUAGGAAGAAGAGAGGAGAGAAUGAGAGAUUUAGGAGAGAGAAAGAGGAGAUAUUAUUUGGAUUCUUGAAUGCCUUUACUCGUGAGUCAUCUUAUUGUAACAGACUCUAUCAACCUUGAGAUCCUUCCCUCCAAAACCAGCUGGCAGAACUGAAACUCCCUAUACAACUAACUGAUAACAGCUUUAUCUUUAUUCUUAUAUCUCUUCCUAUAAUAUGUGACACCAUCCCUAUGCUUCUUUGCAGAUCGUCUAUGUCCACUGUUUGGAUCAUGGUUUUUCAGCCACAAUUGAAAAGUAGCAAUCCAACUGUUGUGGUGUUCCCCCAAGGCUUGCCCUCAUUGUGAUAAUUGAUCUGCUGUUAAAAUAAUGAUGAUAUUUCAUUGUUUUUAAUCAUUGAAUCCACAUGACAGUAUUUUUUGGUCUGAAUGAUGGUCUUGUCAUGCAAAAAACAAUUAUUUAUCCUAUUGCAAUAUCAUAUUUGAAAAUCAGCAACCUUUUGAAUGACUAAUCAUGAGCUUUAAUUUGAAGAAACACAUCACUACUUUCUUUUCCUUCUUUGCUGAAAUUAGCAUAUGAUUUAAAUGUGUAAGUUUCACACUUGUAAUCUUGUUUCUGUACAUCUAGAAACAACUGUUGAGGUUCUGCCGAGGCUGUUCAAAAUCAAAUAUGACAGUGGUACUCUGGAAGAGCUUCUUUACGUUGAUAUGCCUCAUGAAUAUCAGAACUCAAAUGGUCAAAUUGUACUUGACUAUGCAAAAGCAAUACAAGAAAGUGUAUUUCAGCAUCUUCGUGUAGUACGUGAUGGUCAUCUUCGUAUUGUUUUCUCCCCAGAUCUGAAGGUUGGAGAAUGAAUAAAUGGUCCUUUUGAGAGAUUUGAACUUCUCAAUAUAUUAUUAUUAUUAUGAUUAUUUUACGCUAUUUUCUGAAUGCAUCCAUCUUUGAUAGAUUUGCUCUUGGGAGUUUUGUGCACGGCACCAUGAGGAGCUUAUUCCACGAAAGCUGAUAAUACCUCAGGUUACUGAUAUAAAUGCUUUUAUUGUGAUAGUAUAUUCAUGCUUUUCUCCUUGUGUUGGGAUUUUACUCCUAUAAUGUAGACUAGUUAAGCUAUCUUAAUUUUACUGAAAUCUCAAGACCUGUGGUUGAAUUAUUCUUUUCUUCUGAUGAAAUUAUGAAUUUUGGAGGUAGCAUGACAUUGGGUCAGAGCUAUCUUCCUUCAGAAAUAGUGGGAAUAUGAACUGGCAUAAGAAACUAGGCUACACAUUUUGUUGCGCUGCUUGUUUACAAAUUGGCAAGUAAUGAAAUAAUUAACCUUUAUAUCUCAAAGGAUGCUUCUGGCAGAAAAACUGAGGAAGGAGAAGGCCCAAGGGAUCAUUGGGAAUGAUUGUCUAAGUAGGCUGUUUAGUAGCUUGUUCAUCUUCCUUAGAGGUUUCACUUUAUCAUAUUAGAUUGAAUAAGAUUUCUUCGCUGAGCAUCUCUAGAAUGUUUACGGUCCCAAGAUUUCUUUGUUGAUCAUCUUUAGAACACUUGCAUAAUAUUUUGUUCAAUUCUCCGAACUAGAAUUAUGUGGAAUUCAAUUGAAUUCUAGAUAGAAUUCAUUUGAAAUGAAUUCUAUUGUUUAGUUUGAUAUAACUUAGAAUGCAAAAUUCAAUUGAAUAUCAUAUAAUUUCUUAUUGGUUUAGUUUUAGAAUUAGAAUUCAUUUGCUUUCAAUUCCUUAAUGUAUAUAUAAUAUAUAUAUAUACAUAUAUAAUCUUUUUCACAAUAAAUUUAUAAUAAUUAAUAAAUAAUAAUAAUUAACAAAAAUGUAAACCCCACUAACAAUUUAUUAAUAAAAUCAAAAUAAAUUAACAUGAGAUUUGAUUCCAUCAUAUAUGUUUUUUUUAAACUCAACAAAAAUUUGAUUUUAGCAUGUCCUCUUAUACAAGAGAGUUUCUAUUCCAUUUAACCAAUCUAAGAGAAUAUAAAAGUUUAAGGUAGGUGGUUGGUUGUUUAGUACCAUCUAUCAACUUUUAUUCAUAUUUAUAAAAUAAUAUAAAAAUAAAAAAACAUAAUUAUUUAUUAAAAUAGUUUUUCAUCGGAAGAAUUUUAGAGAAUUUUAGAAUAUUAUUGUAUUUCACUCUUAAUCUUUACAAGUGAUUUAUAUGAUUAUUUAUACACAAAGAAUUACAACUAAACAGAAAGUAAAUAAUUAAAUAAUUACAGAGAUAGUUAAAGAUCCUAAUCCAUAAUCAAAUUAAAUCAUAAUCACAAGAAAUCAGCAGAUAAGUCAACACUCUCCCUCAAGUGGGUAUAUAGAUGUUGCACAUGCCCAACUUGCAAAUCAGAUUAUGGUAGGUUCUAUUAUUGAGCUCUUCAGUAAACACAUCCGCAAGUUGUCCGCUAGAAGUCACAUGAACUAAGUUCAAGACACUGUCUGUUAAUUUUUCUUUAAUGAAGUGUCGAUCAAUCUCAAUAUGCUUCGUUCGGUCAUGUUGAACUGGAUUUUAUGCUAUACUAAUAGCAGCAAUAACUUCUACAACCAUAAAAAUUCACACACGCCUUGGGCCAUUGCUUUGUAUUUUUCUUCGGCACUUCACUGAGCAACAGCACUUUGUUUUUUGCUCCUUCAUGUGACAAAGUUCCCUCUCACAACUGUGCAGUAGCCAGAUCUUCUGUCAUCAAGAGAUCCUGCCCAAUCUGCAUUUGUAAAAGAUUCAACUCUGAGGUGGCUAUAUUUUGAGUAAAGAAGCCCUUUUCUUGGCGCAGACUUCAGGUAUCUGAAGAUGCGAAAAACAGCCUUCAUAUGAGUCUCGCGAGUAUCAUGCAUAAAUUGGCUGACUAAGCUAACAACAUAGGCUAUAUCCGGUCGAGUGUGUGAGAGAUAAAUCAACCUCCCAAUCAAUCUCUGGUAUUUUCCAAUAUCUACGGACUCACCAGUUUUUGGUUACAUCUUGUGAUUACUUUUAAUGGAAAAUUCUGCUAGUUUACACCCCAACAUACUAGUUUAUUCCCAAAUAUUCAGAAUGUACUUUCUUUGGGAGAUAAAAAUCUCUUUUUCUGAUUUGGCCACCUCAAUACUCAAGAAAAUAUUGAAAAUUUUCUAAUAUUUGAUUUCAAAUUCUCGAGCCAACAACCUCUUUAGUUGAGGCAUUCCUCUUUGUCAUGUCACCACUAUAUCAUCAACAUAUACAAUAAGAUGGGUAAUCUUACUCUUGUGAUAUUUAAUAAACAGAGUGUGAUCAGCAUUACUCUGUUGGUAACCAAAGGACAUCUUGGCUCUGCUAAACCUAUCAAACCAAGCUUUGGGGGAUUAUUUUAGUCCAUGCAAAGCCUUUUUUAAUUUGCACACCUUUCUUUAUGUCUUCUUAUCAGUAAAUCUAGGAGGGAUCUCCAUGAACACCUCUUCCUCUAAAUCUCCAUGGAGGAAUGCAUUCUUUAUAUCAAACUGCUGUAAGUCCCAGUUGAAAUUAGCUGUACAAGAUAACAAGACUUUGAUUGAGCUCAUUUUUGCAACUGAGACAAAUGUCUCUUGAUAAUCCACUCUAUAGGUUUGGGUGAGACUUUUAACAACCAAUCUGGCCUUAAACCGUUCAAUUGUGCCAUCAGUUUUGUGUUUCACUGUGAAUACCAACUUAUAGCUAAUAAGUUUCUUCCUAGAUGGGAGAGAGACAAGCUCUCAUGUCUUAUUUUUUGCCGAUACUUUCAUCUCUUCAAUCAUUGGUCCCUUCCAUUUAAGAUCUGCGAGAGCUUUCUUCCAAUUCUGUGGAAUAGACAUAGAGGAAAUAGACAAGGUAAAGGCUUUAUUGGAAGGAGAGAAGGAUUCAUAAGAAACAAAGCUAAAAAUAGGUUGUUUGGUGCAAGAUUUGACACCUUUUCCUUGUGCAAUAAGUUUAUCUAAAUCAUUGAAACAUUCAAGAGUUGAGGGUAACUCACUAGAAAAAGAUUCUUGACUUUGAGUAGGCUGCAUAAUGCUUCUUCUGCCUUGUCUCUCCUCGAAUACCUCCUUAAAUCUGGCUUGUCCAAACGUUCAAUUCUCUCCCUAAUUAGAUGUCUCCCCCUAUCUACUAGAACUCUCCCUUUAAACCAUAUCAUUCAGAAUCACAGAAUUCGGGAUCAACACUUUUUACUCAUUAUUCUCCUCCUGAAGAGGUGAGUGGGUGGUACUGAAGUAGGGUUCAGUUUCUCUGAAGGUAACAUCCAUAUUGGCAAAAUAUUUUCUAGAUGGAGAGUGAUAACACCCAUAUACUUUUGGUGGAAUAAUGUAUGAAUUCCUUCCUUGUAGAACCUUUAAAGGACUCGUAAAGUUAAGAGCCUUGAGGGGCAUUCGAUUGGUAAGAUAAGCAGGUACAAGGACCGCAUCUCCCCAAUAUGCUUUGGAUAGGUUCUUGGUGAACAUAAGAGAUCGAGCUACUUCCAGUAGAUGUCUGUUUUUCCUUUCAGCAAUGCCAUUUUGCACACUAGUAUAAGGACAACUUGUCUGGUAUACUAGCCCAUUAGACUCCAAACAAGCAGAAAACCUGCUAUCCAUAUAUUUUCUUCCAUUGUUAGUUCUCAAAAUUUUCACCUAAGUAUCAAAUUGAGUUUGAGUACAAAUUAUAUUGUGAAAAGAUUGAAAACUAGAAAAUAUAUCACUUUUAGCUUUAAUCAAAUAUACUCAAGUCAUUAGAAUACAAUAAUCAAUAAAAGUGACAAACAAUUGAUUACCAUAGGGAGACAGUUUGAGUAGGCCCCCAAAUAUUAGAAUGAAUAGUAACCGAAGACUUUUGGAGAAUUUUAGAGUGUUCUUGUAUUUCACUCUUAAUUUUUACAAGUGAUUUACAUAACUAUUUAUACAAAAAACAAUGACAACUAAAUAAGAAGCAAAUAAUCAAAGAAUGAUUAAGAAUCCUGAUUUAUGCCUAGAAUCCAUAAUCAAAUCAACUCAUAUCACUAUAAUCAGCAAAUAAGUCAACACUCCUCUCCAAGUUGGUGUAUAGAUGUUGCACAUACCCAACUUGUAAAUUAGAUUAUGGUAAAUUCUAUUGUUAAGCCCUUUAGUGAACACAUCCACAAGUUGCCUAGUAGAAGUCACAUGAACUAAGCUUAAGACACCGUUUGUUAAUUUUUCUUUAAUGAAGUGCCGAUCAAUCUCUAUGUUCUUCGUUCGGUCAUGUUGAACUGACUAUUGUUUCGAGUAACGAAGCCCUCUCCCUAGCACAGAUUUAAGGUAUCUCAAGAUGCGAAAGAUAACUUGCAUAUGAGUCUUGCAAGGGUCAUGUAUGAAUUGGCUGACUAAGCUAACAAUAUAGGUUAUAUUCGGUCAAGUGUGUGAGAGAUAAAUCAACCUCCCUAUCACUCUCUGGCAUCUUCUAAUAUACACGGUCUCAUCAGUUUCUGCUUGCAUCUUGUGAUUACUUUCAAUGAGAGAUUUUGCUGAUUUACACCACAACAUAUCAGUUUCUUCCAAAAGAUUCAGAAUGUACUUUUUUUGGGAGAUAAAAUUUUCUUUUUUUGAUCUAGCCACCUCAAUACCUUGGAAAUAUUGAAGCUUUUCUAAAUCUUUGAUUUUAAAUUCUUGAGCCAACAACCUUUUUAGUUGAGUCAUUUCUCUUUGUCAUCAUCUGACACCACUAUAGCCUUAACAUAUACAAUAAGAAGGGUGGUCCUCUUCUAGAGAGAGAAAAGGAUUUUUUUUCCCAACACUUGGACCUGAAUUAGAUGUAUUUGUUAUUCAACCCUGCAAGAAAAUCAUAGAACUGUUUCUUUUCAAUCACUUUUUGGAAUUUGACUGCAUUUCUCGUACAAUCUGCUUGGAAGUCCUGAUAGUAAUCAUGCUCCUGCCAUAAGUCACAUAACUGAGAAUAAAAUUGGGAGAUAGUCAUUUCUCCUUGCUUAGUACUAUGGAUCAUAUUCCUAAUAUCAUAAAUUUGGGCAUCAUUCCCAAUCUUGGAAUAAGUUAAGGACAAAGUUUUUCAUAUCUUUGCAGCAGUAUCAAUUAACAAAUAGGACUUAGAGAUAUGAGUGCAUAGAGUUAAGUAACUAUGUCAUAACAACACAAUUAUCUGAGUCCCAUUGAGAAAAAACCAGAUCACUCUCAUCCAGUUGCUUCUUAUUACCAGUGACAUAACUCUGCAGUCCUCUAGCCUUGAUAAACAACAAACAAAAUCUUGACCAAGCAAGAUAAUUGGUUCCAUCAAGUUUUAUGGGACUAAUUUGCAAGGAAGGAUUAUCAGAAUUAAGAAUCGAGACCUUUUUACCUUGUGCCAUGGUAAAAACAAAUAAACCGUAAAAGAAUAGGAGGUACCCAAGGUUGUACAGACAAGAGAGCCCAACCGAAUCAUCAAAAGACUAGGUAGUGGCACGGGAAGGUAGGAAAGAGGGUUGGAAUCAGCGCUGGAGUGAUCGGAGCGGUGAAGCAGCAUCGAACGCUGUCUCACCCGCUGGGAAGGGAGGGCACGUGAGCCUCAUGCGCGUGACUUUCCGGCGUCGGAGCAGGCGGUCUAGCUGGCGAUCCUCCUAUUGCCAGUGAUGAGAGGUGAAAAAGUCUCUAAAUAGCGUAAUACCAAAAAGGUAGAUCUAGGGUUUUGAAACUAUAAAGAGGAAAAAAUUGAAUUUAAAUCUUAAAAUAAGGAAAAGGCUCUGAUAUCAUGAAGAAUUUUAGAGAAUUUUAAAAUAUUUUUAUAUUUUACUCUUGAUCUUUAUAAGUGAUUUACAUUAUUAUUUAUAUACAAAGAAUUACAACUAAACAGGAAGCAAAUAACCAAAGAAUAAUUACAAAGAUAAUUAAGGAUCCUAAUUUAUGUCUAAAAUCCAUAAUCAAGUCAAAUCAUAUCAUUAGAAUCAGCAAAUAAGUCAACCGUCAUAAAAGAAAUUUGAUUUUUAUUAUGACUUAAAGGAUAGGAGGUUUUAGUGUGCUUAGCAUACUCACAAACAUCACAAAAUAAAGAACUAAACUGAGUUCUAGUAAACAACUAGGAUAAAGUUUUUCUGAGACAAAUGGUGAUGGAUGUCCUAACCGCCUAUGCCACUGUAUUAUUUUCUGAUUUACAUUCUUAUUUUCUCUAAAAUAGGCUUGAGAUAUUGAAGAAUCACUUUCUAACAUGUAUAAGCCAUAAUGUAGUCUACCAUUGCCAAUCUUGUUAUUUGUGAGAAGAUACUGAAAAACACAAUGAUUAGAAAAGAAGGAAAGAAUUCAAUUUUACAUUUAAGAGUAUCGGUGAUAGCACUGACAAAUAAAAGGUUGAGAGAAAAAUGGGGAACAUGAAGGACAAAUGAUAAUUUAAUAUUGAGUGUAUAAAUAACAAAACUUGUUCCGGAUAUGAGAGUAAAAAGGUCAUUAGCAAUUUUGACAUCGUCUUUGGUUAGAAAAGGAAAAUAAUUGAAAAAUCCUUUAGAAGAGCUUGUUAUGUGUCUACUUGUACCAGAAUCAAUAAUCCAUAGAAUAGUAUCAAGAGAAGAAGCAUUACCUGACUCCACAAAAUUAAAUGUGGCAUUAGAGGAGGAAGAGGUGUCAAUAUGAGAUAAGAGACGCUUGAGACUCUGAAUUUCAUUAGGGGAAAGGAAUUCAGAAGCUGUUGUCUUUCUUAAAGGGCUCCUCCAUAGUUUCUGAUAAAUUAGCUUGAGCUCUAGAGGUAUCUCGUUUCCCCCAUGGCCUCUAGUGGUGCGACAAUGUAACUUCCAACAAGUCUCUUUGGUAUGUCUCGAUUUUUCACAAUAGUCGCAAUACAGGUGAUCUUUUUCAGAAUUAGGAGGCUGCGGUAUGCUCAAACUAAUAGCUAACCCAGCCUAUUCAACUGGUACAAUAUAGAACAUAGCAUGUCAAGGACUUUUCUCUUGUUGAACAUGGGCAUGGACCUCUUCUAGUGAAGAAAAAAGGGUUUUUUCCUAACACUUGGACUUGAAUUGGAUCAUAUUCAUUAUUCAACUUGCAAGAAAAUCAUAGACCUACUCCUUUUCAAUUAUUUUCCGAAAUUUGGCUGUAUCUCCAGUACAGUAUGUCUGUAAGUGCUGACAGUAAUCAAGCUCCUACCAUAAGCCACAUAGCUCAGAAUAAAAUUGGGAGAUAGUCAUUUAUCUUUGCUUAGUACUAUGAAUUUUAUUUCGAAUAUCAUAAAUUUGGGCAUCAUUCCCAAUCUUGAAAUAAGUCAAGGAGAAAAGUUUCCAUAUUUUUGCAGCAAUAUCAAGUAACAAAUAGGACUUAGAGAUAUGUGAUUGCAUAGAGUUAAGUAACUAUGUCAUAACAAGACAAUUAUCCAAGUCCCACCGAGGAAAAUCUAAAUCACUCUCAUCCGGUUGCUUCUUAUUACCAGUGACAUAGCCCUGUAGUCCUAGUCUUGAUAAACAACAAAUAUGACCUUGACCAAGCAAGAUAAUUGGUUCUAUCAAGUUUUAUGGGACUAAUUUGCAAGGAAGAGUUAUCAGAGUUAGGAACCGAGACAUUUUUACCUUCUGACAUAAUAAAAUCAAAUGAAUCAUGAAAGAAUAGGAGGUACAAAUACACAAGAGAGGCCAACCAAAUCACCAAGUGACCAGGUAGCGGCAUGGGAUGGCCGGAAAGAGGUCGGCGCCAGAGUGGACUGCGCAGCGUAGCAGCGUUGGGCAAAACCUCAUGCGUCCGGAAGGAAAAGUGCGUGAGCCUCACGCGCGUGAAUUUUCAGUGUAGGAGUUAGAUGGCCGGCCGACAAUGGUCCGGCGACCCUACUGGUGGCGACGGUGAGACAAAAAGGCCUCUAGAUAAGGUAGUGCUAAAAAGGUAGAUCUGAGGUUUUAGAAAUCUUAAAGAUGAAAAAUUGAAUUUAAGACCUAAAAUCAGGAAAAAGCUCUGAUACCAUAAAGAAUUUUGGAGAGUUUUAGAGUAUUUUUGUAUUUCACUCUUAAUCUUUACAAGUGAUUUACAUAACUAUUUAUACAUAAGAAAUUAUGACUAAACAGGAAGCAAGUAAUCAAAUAAUUGCAAAGAUAAUUAAAGAUUAUAAUUUAUAUCUAGAAUUUGUAAUCAAAUCAUAUCACUAGAAAUCAGCAAAUAAGUCAACAUAAUUAUUUUUUUAAUCAUUAAUAUUUUUUAAUUAUUUAUUAAUUUUUAGUUAUUUAUUUUAUUAAUUAGUAUAAUAACUGAUAAUUGGGAGAAAAAGUUUUGGCAUGGCAUUUUAGUCCAUAAAAAUUUAUUGUUUAAGUUUUGUGGAAUUCAUUUCAAAUUCCAUUAAAACUUGAUAGAAUUGGUUUUAGUUAUAACCUCAUGGAAUUCAAUUCCUAGAAUUAAAUUCUAGUUUUUAUUCAAAACAAAUACUAACAUGGAAUUCAAUUGUGACAGGUUUGAAAUUUAUGCCAAUUAAGGUGGCAAAACUAUGAUACUAUGAAGAAUUUUUGGGAGGAAUUUUUUAUUCUAUUCCAGUUGAAUUGAUCUUUACAAGGUUUGAGUAUUUAUAUAUAAAAAAAUAACCUAAAUUAGGAAUAUUUACGAUAAAAAUAAAAUCCCUACAAUGAAAUCUUAUAAUCAAGCCUAAUUAGGAUCCCAAAGAUUUGAAUCCUCCUAGUUAGAAACCUUCUAUGAUGGUCAACAAACACAAACAUGGAAUUUAAUUGCAUUCCACAAAAUUUUAAGGAUUAAAAUUGAAUCAAACAUAGUGUUAACAUAUUGUCAUGGUCGAUAUAUCAAAAUACCAUUUGUCUCUUCAAAGAUGUGGAUAAAGUUUCCCUUCAUGAUCAUUAAGAUAAAGAUGCUUCCACACUUUUCUAAUGUUUCCCUUAGCUCAUGCUUUUCCUAUCAUCAAAAAUCAAAACUAUUUUGGUUACAUUUCGUACCUAUUAUAAUCUCUUCUCAAGACUUCUACUUUUCAUAUAUUUUUGUUUAGGAAGAUACAGAUUUGAUUCUUUCUUGCCUACUGGUGUUGCUAAGGUGGUAUUUGAAGGGAUUUUUUUUUAGUUGAAUUCUGGAGACUUAUCAAGUUUAUCCAGGUAAGUCAGCUUGGAGCUGCAGCACAAAAAUACCAGGCUUCUGCUCGAAACUCAUCAUCCAGCUCAUCAAAACGUGAUUUAGAAAGCAACUGUAACUUGUGAGUUCUUAUCCCUUGAAAUUCUCUUGAUGAAUAAUAUAAAUUAACAGUAGUUCUAUUAUUUUCCAUUUUGUUUAUCUGAAUGCUAUAAUUUUUCCUUUGUUUCUGUGCCUUUGGUUAUCUUUCGUAGUGUAAAAUGACACAUUUCAUCCAAUAAAAUAGUUUUGAGUGUUAGACUCUUGCAAUAUCAUUGUAUGUGAGAUCUUUCAAUUGUUAGUAAUUGGGAUUAAAAGUUAAAUGAUGAAUCACGAUACAAUUACUAAGCCUUAUAGCAAAAAGAAUGAAGGAUGUUGUGGUAGUAUAAUUAACAUUUGAAAGUCUUAUUUUGCCCACACUACAUUUGGUUGUACUUUUUUUAUUUAUAGAACUUGUGAUAAAUAUCUAAGCUCUUAUACUUAUUAUAGAAAUAAAUAAUAUCCUUGUGUCCGUCCCAAUAUUUCAUUUGAUUUUACAAUUUAUUAGAUAGGUUCUAUUAUGAUAUGGCUUUGCAUCAUUGGUUUUUUUUUUCUUUUUAAUUAAUGGGGUUCAGGGUGGGGCCAUGGUGGGAGAAUGUUUAACCUGUGUUGCAUGGCUUUUCUCCCUCUACUUACUAAGUAUUUUGACAGGUUUCUUGCAUCUGCUCGUCAAUUAGCUAAAGCUUUGGAGGUACCCUUAGUUAAUGAUUUGGGAUAUUCAAAGAGAUAUGUGCGGUGUCUUCAGGUACUAUCUGCUGCGUCUUUGUAUUUUCCUAUUGUCUAUCCUUAAUUCUUGGACUUGGAUAUGGCUCCUCUACUAGGCAUAAGAUUUCUGUGGUUUGCACUGUAAAAUGUAAAUUGGUUGUUUGUGCACUAUCUAAUAUGUAGUGUGGUAAUAUUCGGAUUAAGUUUCUCCUGGAAUACCAUCUGUUGAUUAAUAUUGAUGUGAAAUUCUGUUUACUAUCUAAAUGUUGUUCCAAUGCAUUUUUUGUUGGAGCUAUAAUGUUGACUAAUGAGGAGACCUUAAAGACAUAAUUGCAAAGAUUAAGGGCUGAUCUCAUGCCAUAUUUUUAGGCUAAAUUAUAGGGCAUAAUUGUAGAGAUUUUAUUUCUUGUAAUUUCCUUAUUAGCUUUGAUUCUUUAUGUAUAAAUUAGAGUGCACAUAGCUUAUAAAGAUAACUUUCUACAGCAAUAGAACUCUCAAAUUUUUCAUGGUAUUAAAGAUUUGCCAAUAUUAUUUGGUAUAAGUAUUCCUGAUAUUGCUCACAAAGUUGGGGUGUUUAUAGGUUAAAUUUCUAGGUGAUACUAGAGAGGGAGUUGACCAACAUCACCCAUACCAUGCAAAGACCCAUUGGUUUACUAGCAUUUCCCAGCUACGCAGCAUUAUUUCGGCCACGCACGUGAGCUCACGUGCCACCACUGGAUUUGGCGUUAUGAGAUUCACCUGCUUCCCAUCCGACAUCGGUGGAUUACGGAAAUUCCGAAUUUUAUAUAAUAGCUAGCACGAAACUACUAAAUAACUUGGGUUAACCAUUUUGAGCCAAGCGGAAAGUAGUCCAAAAGUUAUUUGGGUCAGUUUAGGCCGGACUGUUUCAAUUGGUAUCAGAGCCAUCUUGGGUCAGAAAAAUUGUGCAGAGCUAGUGGAUCUGCGAGGAAAGGGUAGAGGAAAGGGCUACCCAUGUGAGAUGAGGUGGAGUCGCUCGAGGCACUAGCGAACUACAAUACCGACGAGGUGGAGCCGCCCGAGGCACUAGCGAACCGCAAUACUCGAGGGUCCGAUCCUGACUUAGCAAUUGUAUCCGAUUCAGUUACGACAAGAACAUCACAAAUUUGGCAGGGGAGAGUAUGAGAUUCACCUGCCUCUCGUCCCACAUCGGCGGAUUACAGAAAUUCCAUAUUGUAUAUAAUAGCUAGUACGAAACUACUAAAUAAUUUGGGUUAACCAUUUUGGGCCAAGCGGAAAGUGGUCCAAAAGUUAUUUGGGUCAGUUUGGGUAGGCUGUUUCCGGAGCGCUUCUCCACGCGCCGGCACAUGGGUCACUCUCCAACACUCUUUUCCGACAGUGCUCCUUUUCGGCAAUCUCCCCAUUAUGUCACACCUCUGAGCAGCCCAAACCCAUACUUUUUUGCCGGUGAACAUUAGCUUUUACUCCAUGAACAAUAAUUUUUUUUUUUCCCUUUUUUGGACAAAAAAGUGUUUUUUUUUUCUCUUUGAAAUGGAGAAUGUGACUAGUGAGAGUAAUGUAAGGGUAAAGGCUUUUGAUAAUGCUUUUGUUUCGUUUGUUGAUACUACGCUCUCCAGCAACAGUCGGAUUUGCUCCACUUCCACCAACCUAGACUCCUGAUUUACUACUAUGGAUCAAGUCAUCGCGAAAAAUAAAUCGUAUUUCUUGCCGUAACAUAGAUUUGGAGUUGAAACACCAACUUUCAGCCUUGGCAAGUAGGCUUUGAUACCAAAUUGUUAAGAACUAGAAGAGAUUAGAUGAAAAUAGAAAUAGAGAGAAAAGGAAGCAGAAAUAAAGAUGACAAAUUCACUCAAAUUUAUGGAAUGGAUUAUCAGGAGACAUUUGCUCCUGUUGCUAAAAUGAGCUCAAUCAUAGUAUUGUUAUCUUGUGCUACUAAUCUGGAUUGAGACUUACAACCGUUUGAUGUGAUAAAUGCAUUUCUCCACGAAAACUUAAAAGAUGAGGUGUAUAUGUAGAAUCCUUUAGGAUUUGCUAAUUAAAAAAUACAAGAAAAGGCGUGCACACUGAAGAAGGCCUUGUAUGGCCUAAAACAAUCACCUAGAGCAUAGUUUGACAUAUUUAGCAGAGCCAUGAUUUUUUUUUGCUAUCAACAGAGCAAUACUGAUCAUACCAUGUUUAUUAUGAAUGGAUUUUGCAAAGAAUGGAUUCUGCUGCUUUUGGCAAUAAGAUCAAUUGUAUUAUCUGAGUUCAUCUGCUUGAUGUGUUGUUACCAAUUAACAUUCAUUACUAGGAUUCUUGGGAUUAUUCAGUUUUAGUUACCUGUAUGGGUACAUGGUCUUGAAUUGACCUGAAUUGAUGGCUACAAAGCAUGCGUUUGGCAUUAUAAUAUAGGCUACUUUCAUAUUUUUAAAUAUAUGUGAAAUUGCAGUGCCAUAUGAGUGGGGCUGUGCACAGUUCCUUAAGGUCCUGAACCGAAUCGAAGAAACAUACCAAACUAUAUUAGUACUGAAAUUGCAGAAACUGAAUCGUAUUAAAUCAAACUUACUUAACUAUUUGAUUUUGGUUCUUUAUUAAAAACUGUAACCGUACUAAAGAACUAAUUAUAUAUAUAUAUAUAUAUAUAUAUAUAUAUAUGUCUUUGAAUGAUUUAGUUAUAUUAUGGUUCCAAUAUAUAAUUUCAAUAAUAUGUUUUAUAUAUUAUAUAGUUUCAAUAAAAUUUUAUAUAUUUACAUGAAAUAAGAUAUUUGAAAUUAAGAUUAUAUUUUUUUUAUCAAAAUUAUGUGAUUCUAUUUAAAAAAUUCAAAUCCUAAUUUUAUAAAGUGUUAUAUUAAUUAUAGUAGAAAUUUUGAAAUAAGUAGGGGUAUAAACAAGUUAAACUAUUCGAAACUCAACUUUAUAAAAGUUUUGCUCAAUGCGUGUGUAUAUGUAUAUAUAUGUAUAUACUCUCUCUAAUUAUUUAUCUAAUAUUAUCUAUCUAUUUUCAUAAAUUAAAUUAUUCAUAUAAUUUAAAUAUGAAUUCUUUCUCUAUUAACUAUUGAAUAGUUAUUACUAAUGUAAAAUAACCAUAUAUUAUAGUUAUUAAAGAUUGCAAACUAUUAUAUAAUUUAACUAAUUUAAUUAGUUGCUUAAUAAUUCAUUCUAUUUAAAUAGACUUUAUAGAUACUAUCUCUAUUAAUUACUAAUAGAAUAUAAAUUAAUAAAAUCAAUUAUAUAUAUAUACAUACUCAUACAUAUAUAUAUUUGUUAUUUUUUUUCAUAAAUAUAUUAAAUUACUUUAUGGUUUUUUAAUUAUGUGUAAAUCAUAUGUUAGUUAUAUAAUAUACUUUUAGAUAUUAAUUACGCAUGUAUCUUUUAAAUAAAACUUAUAUAAUUAAUAACUGAAACCGAUGAUGAAAAGAAGAAGAUGAAAGCAGAAGCUUUUAGAGAAAAUACUUGAUUAUUCCCCUCAAAACAAUCGGGGUAUAUAUACUACUUACAAGAGUACAUACUAAGUAAGAAAAUAAAUUAACUCUCUAAUUAUAGUCUAAUCAUAUCCCAAUCACAUAAUCAUAUCCCUAAUUAUCACUGCAAAUCUAGGUUAUUUACAGAAAGAAUCUCAACACUCCCUUUCAAGCCGGAGCGUAUGUCAUAUGCUCUAAACUUAUUACAAAUAUACUCGAUUCAUGAACCUCGAAGAGAUUUUGUGAAAACAUUAGCUAGUUGAUCAUUUGAGUUGACAAAGCUAGUAGAAAUGCAUCCCGACUCAAUCUUUUAUUUAAUAAAAUGGCAAUACACCUCUAUAUGUUUCAUCCUCAUGAAAAAUUGGAUUUGAUGCAAUAUGGAGGGCAGCUUGAUUAUCACAUAUCAGUUUCAUUUGGCCAGUAUCACUGUAUUUCAAUUCCUGAAGGAGUUCCUUCAGCCAAAUGAGUUCGCAUGUUGCUAAAGUCAUAGCUCGAUAUUCUGCUUCUGCACUUGAUCUUGCAACCACACCCUGUUUUUUACUUUUCUAGGAUAUAAGAUUCCCUCCAAUCAUAAUACAAUAUCCUGAAGUAGAUCGUCUAUUUGAAGGGGAACCUACCCAAUUUGCAUCAAAAUAGCCAACAAUUUGUGAGUGACCCUUAUCCUCAUAGAGCAGUCCUUGUCCUGAAGCUCCUUUGAUAUAUCUAAGAAAUGACUGCAUUCCAGUGACUACUGUAUAGGGUUUGGAAAAAUUGACUAACCACACUUACAGCAAUGGAAAUAUCUGGUCGAGUGAUAGUGAGAUAAUUGAGCUUGCUAACUAAUCUUAUGUAUCUAGCAGGACCUUUAAGUGGCUCCUCCUAUUCAGGAACCAGUUUGACAUUUGGACCCAUGGGAGUGUCCACAUGUCUACAGUCUAACAUACAUGUUUCUUCCAAUAUGUUCAAAGCAUAUUUUCAUUUGGAAAUUGCAAUACCUGUCUUAGACUGUGCCACUUCAAUCCCCAAGAAGUACUUCAAUUUUCCCAGGUCUUUAGUUUGGAAAUGACUGAACAAAUGUUGCUUAAGCUGAGAAAUUUCAUCAUGAUCAUUUCCUGUAAUAACAAUAUCAUCAAUAUAGACCAAGUAAAUGCAUCUAUUGCCAUUAUGACGGAAAAAUACGGAAUGAUGAGAAUUACUUCGAGACAUUUUUGGAGACUGUUUUAAACCAUACAAGGAGCGUCGAAAAUGACAUACUAAGCCUGACUCUCCCUGAGCAAUAAACCCUGUAGGUUACUCUAUAUAGACUUCUUCGGCGAGCUCACCAGGAAGAAAGGCAUUUUUAAUGUCCAGUUGAUAAAGGGUCCAGUGAUUAAUUGCAACCAAUGAGACAAGGAGGCGAACAGAAGCUAUUUUGGCUACUGAAGAGAAAGUAUCACUGUAAUCAAGCCCAAAAAUCUAUGUAACCUUUAGCUACAAGGUGAGCUUUAAGGCGAUCAAUUUUGCCAUCAGGUCCCACCUUAACUAUGUAAACCCAUCGACAACCAACAGUAGAUUUGCUAGGUGGUAAAGAGACCAGUUUUCAAGUUCCAUUAUUAUGAAGAGCAGUCAUCUUCUCAACCAUUGCAUUACACCAACCAGGAUGAUCCAAUAUUUCUCUAACUGUCUUGGGUAUAGAAACAGCAGAUAUGGUGGAAACAAAAGUAUAAUGGAAGGAGACAAACGAUGGUGACUCACAAAAUUAUAAAUGGGAUGAGAAUUUUGAGAAGAGCGAAUACCUUUUUGGAGAGCAAGAGGAGUAACUGUUGCUACUGGAGGCAUGACCAAAGUAGGUGAUUGAUGGAAUUGGAGGUGAGUCAUUAGAAGUACCUGCAUCAGGGAGAGAAGUAUCGUGGCUAGUAGCAAAUAGGUGAAGUCGACGUGUGUAGACCUGAAGAGGUGGUGUAGGAGUGGGAGGCCAAUGAGACAUAAGAGUUGCAGGUAUAGGCAAAGCUCUAAGAACAAAGGUUUUGUGCGUUGGAGUAGAAGAAAAGUAAGGGGAGGUUUCAAAAAGGGUGACAUCUGCAGAGACGAAAUAUCUGUUAGUAGUGGGAUCAUAGCAUUUGUAACCUUUUUGAAGCGAGAAAGACACAUUUAACUGAUUUGGAUUGGAGUUUGUCUUUAUUAGGAGUAUGAUCAUGAACAAAACAUAUACAUCUAAAAACUCGCAGAGACAACUGAUUGGAGGUCUGGUUAGGAAAGAGAACCGAAUGAGGGCUCUGAUGCUACAAAAUAGAGGAAGGCAUACAGUUGAUUAAGUAGCAGGUAGUAAGGACCACCUCAACGGGUAGUGCAAGGCAAAUGAAGCCUGCGUUCCGACGGGACUGGGACGUUCCCUUUGGCUCAUUGCGCUCGUAGCUCGAGUGGAGGAGCGUCACUUUGGAGAAACAAUGCUGGGAUCAAAGCGCUUAAUUGCAGACAUGCUCGAGGGCGAGCAUGGUUUGAGUGGAGGAGAGUUGCCACGUCCAUAAAUUCUAGGGAUGUACAACACCAUGCUGCGGAAGAUGUUGCUGUGAAGAUUGGGCGGGGAGUUGCUUGGAAGGGCCUUUGUGUGUGGGAUUAUCAUUUCUACAUACAUUGGUCGGGGGCUGGAGCCGCUCUCUUGAUGAGCCUAAGGCAGGGCGAAACCAGUCAGCGUGGCAAGGCUCUUCAAUAGGCUGAACUUAGCAGACGGAUACUCAAUUAUUCCCCUCAAGCCAAUUGGGACUUACAAGAGUACAUACUAGGUAAGAAAAUAAAUUAAUUCCUUAAUUAUAGUCUAAUCAUAUCCCAAUCAUAUCACAUAAUCAUAUUCCUAAUUCUCAAUACAAAUCUAGGCUAUUUAUAAAAAGAAUCUCAACAAUAACUAUAUAUAAAAUCAUAUAACAUUUUUUUUGAGAAUUAUAUAAAAUAUAUUUUUAAUAUUAAUAUUAUUAUUGUUUAAAUGUUAGUAUUAUUAUUUUUGUUAUUGUUUCAAUGUUAAAAUUUUAAAAUUAUUUUCUAUUUUAAAGUUCUAAGUGGAAUAACUAAGAUUUAAGCUAAAAUAUUAAACUAAAAAUAAAGUUAUAAUAGAACUGAAACAAGAACCGGAAUUGAAUUGAAACAUACUGAAAUUGCUUAGAAUUGAACCAAAACUAAAAACUGAAAUUUGGUUCCAAGUUUAAUUUCUAAAAAUCAAAGAAUCUAAAGUUUGGUUUCGGUUCCAGUUCUUAGCUACAAUCGCAACAAACUGGAACUUAAAAUCCUUACAUAUGAGCAUGAUGAUUAGUAAUAAACUUUGUACAUGUAUCAGGUAGGAGAAUUUUGGUGCUAUUUUGUAUUUCAUUUCAUCAAGAAAUACACAGGAGCCAUUUGGUAUCUUGUUGUUUAAUUAUUUGUUACAUAGGAAUUAUAGAAAUAAAGGUAAUAACGAGAAGUGGAGGAAUAGAUAUGGAAGCAAGAAAAGUCAACAAAAGUUAGCUAGCAGUUGGAGAGAAAAUUAGUAGGAGGCAGUUACUAUAUCUCCAGUUUUGAAUUGGCCGUGAUUAGGAUAUAAAAAGAGCUGGAGUAGCUCUGAUUUUGGCAUUCCAGAACUAAUAUCAACAUAGAACAUUUUCUCUCUAUCUUCUACUCUUUCUUUCCUUUCUUUCUCUAUUUUUCCUACACUUCUAUUUUCUGUGAUAGAGAACCUGGUUUCAUGACAUUAUCCCUCUUGUGAGUAUGAUUGCAAAAAUAAUAUAAUUGAUGGCUCACAGUUAAGCUCUCUUUUGAGUGUUGAGCCAAUUGCUGUAUAGUCUCUAACUAUAUUUUUCCUUUUCUUUGUACGAUGUGAAACAAAAUACAGAUAUCAGAGGUGGUAAAUAGUAUGAAAGAUUUGAUUGACUACAGCCAAGAGACUGGAACGGGGCCAGUGGGUAAGAUUUAAUAGAUAUCUUCCUUUCUGGUAGACAUUCUUCUUUCAUUUUCUAAAUUUACUUUGGCAAACAGUGGCUUGAGUUGCAAUAUACAAUUUAUUUUCUUUUAUACCCUUUUCUCUGAAUGCCAGUAAGGGUUCUAUUGGUCCACUUCUAUUUUACAUCUGGUUGACAUUGUAUUAUUAUUGUUAAGUAUUCUUUUUACCCAAUACCUCUUCAACUCUUCUACAGAAAGUUUGGCACAGUUUCCCCGUAGGACUAGGCCAGGGCUACAUUAUUCAGUUCAGCAAUCUCAGGAGCAGCAGCAGCAAUUUAGAGGGCAUGUCUUGAACAAUAAUCAUAAUUCUGUACAGACAAAUGUUGUGCAUCCUUCUACAAGCAGCGGUGUUGCAAGUGCGGACAACUUUUAUGAUAUGUCCUCUAUUAACUCUGUUUCUGGCCUUCUCCGCCAGAAUUCCAUGAACUCAACGAUUGAGAAUCAGAUGAACAAUCCUGGAAGUCCAUAUGCUGGGACUCCUGUUCAGAUCCCAUCUGCGGGCUCUUCAACCACUCUGCCCCAAACUCAACCCAAUCCUCCUUCUCCUUUCUCGUGUCCAACACCUUCUUCAUCUAAUAAUCCUCCCCAGAGUUCUCAUAAUGUGCUAACAGCAUCAAAUUCUGCAAACCAUGUAGUUAUGGCAAAUUCACCAACCCAAAUAUCAGUGGGACAAUCACCACAGUCAAAUGAGGUUGCUCCAAAUGAGCUGCAAAGAUCUGUUGAGAAAAUCAUACAAGAUGUAAUGACUUCUUCCCAAUUUAGUGGGGGAGGUAACACGGCUAGUAUUGAUUCUGAAGAGAAUAAUAUGAAUAACCUUAAUGGGAUUGCAUUGAAAAAUCAAAAUGUCCUCACUAGGGGGAAGUUCCUCCUGGGCAAUGGUACAGUGGACUCCAGCUCAAGUACUAUGGUUGGAGAGUUUAGGAGCUUUGGUCGUGGAAAUGGUCUCUCUGCCACUGCUAGUGGAAUCAAAGCUGCCAUGGCAACCAAGUCUUUGCUUGAAAGGAACCGUUGGCAACAUGAAUUCACUAACCAGUUACAUAAUGGGAUUGGAUCUGUGAAUAGUUUUCUUGAUCACCAAUUUGACUGGAAAUCUGCCUGAAGAAGUGUCUUUGCUGACAUAUUCAUGACAAUUGCCUAUAGCCCUCUGCCUUCUGAUGUGAUAUUUCUGUGGGCAAUAGAAAGGGCAUAUGCUACAUGAUUAAGGAUUAAUUUGCCUCCAUUAAUUUGGAGCUUAUAUAGUUACAGGGAUUUUGUAGAGGGAAGGAAAAUGUAUAGUUUUGUGCUGAGGUGCCCUCUCCCCUCCUUUUCUUCCUCCUCUCCUCUUCUAAUCUUCACUUAAUACUUGGGGUUCUUUCUGCUGGUUUUUGUAUGUAUGGUUUGCACAGCUUUGAAACGAGGAAUCAUGCUUGAGACAUGAUCAUUGUAAUUAUGCAUUCAUCUUUUCCCGUAGUAGGGGAUUGUGGAAAAAUUUUGUAUGCAUCGACUCGAUGAUUCGAAACAGCUCCAUGUGGAACUGAUACAGAUAAUAAUAAUAAUAAUAGUAACAAUAAAAUGGUGCUUCUUUCAUAAUGCAGAGCCAGCAAUGGUAAUCUUUGCCUGCUGGAAGUAGAUUCGGAAAUGACCAAGGAAUUGUUGACUAUUUCAUUUUCACUUGACAAGAAAGCAGACCCACCAUAGAUCUUUGUGCACAAGUCUCAUCUUGAAACAAAGAAUAAUGGUAUCUGGAGCAAUCGAGUGACGAACGAACCCAACAGUUAUAUUUAGGAGCAAAUUAUGAGUUUAAAUUCAAUACAAUUAUAUUAAAUUAAUUAUAAUUCAAUUAGAAUUGAAUUUAAAGGAAAAAUAUAUUAAAAUUUUAUUUGGUUAGACGGAUAAAAAUAACUUUUUUUAAUUUUAAAGAAUGAUGGGUUAAAUAUAAUGAUAUAUUAAAAAUAAAGCUAUUCCUAUUUUAAAAAUUAAAAGCUAACAGUUUUUGUAUGCGCCUUUCCCUUUUCCAUCACUGGGUGUCUUUUCGUUAUAAAACUGGUACUUUGAAGGCUGUAUAGAACUGGGUGUCUUUUCAAUUUAAUUUCUAUUGAAAAUUUUUUAUUCUAUUUUUUUAGAGAAAUAUAAAGUAAUUUUAAUUUUAUAGAAAAUAAUAAUUAAUAUAUAUGUAAUAAAUACAAUUUAUUAUUUUUAUAAUCACUAUUAAUAUAUGAUUUUUUUAAUUUCUUAAUUUUCUCUAAUAUAAUAAAUAUAAUUUAUUAUUAUAUUUAUUGUAAUAAAUAUAAUUUAUUAUUUGUUAAUUACUAUUAAUGUGUAACUUUUUAUUUUCUACUACUUUCUAAUAUAAUAAAUAUAGUUUUUAUUAUAAUUAUAGUGAGUAUUAUUUGACUUUUUGAUGUUCUACUAUAUAUUAUAUUAUUAAUAUUACAAUAAAAAUUUUAUUAUAUUUUUAUUAUUAAAAAAAUUUUAUUAUAAUUUUUUUAAUUUUAAUAAUAAAUAGAAUGUUAAAAAUAUAUUUAUAAAAAUUGAGUAAGCACUCUAUAAAAUGAUUUUUAAACAAUUAAAAAAAUUACUUUUAUUAUAUAGUAAUAAUUCUAUAACAAAAAAAUCAUAUAAAAAGUUUUUAUUAUAUUACAUUAUUGUUAUUUAUUUAUUUAACAUUUUUAUAAGAUUAUAAGUAAUAUAAUUUAAUUAUAAAUACUCUAUAUAAUGUCAAUAAUUAUAUAGAAUAAAUAUAUAUAAUCAAUUAAAAUUAUUAUAAAAAAUAUUAAUUAUGUAAAAAUAUAUAUAAUUAAAGAAUUAAUAGAACUAAUUAUAUAAAAUGUUAUCAAACUAAAAUUUUAUUAAUUUAAAUAACUAUAAAAAGUUAAUAAAGUAAAAUUGUGAUUCUAAUUCUCAAAAUGAAUUGUUAUAAAUAUUAAAUAACUAAAUUAUUAAAUUUAAAUUACUAUAAUUUAUUAUAUUAAUGAUUAAUAAUUUUUAAAAAAUAUAACCUUCAUUAUUUAUUUUAUAUAAAAUUCAUUUGCAUAAUUUCUUUUACAUAUAUUUCUUCACAUAUCUCUCCAUUUUCACAUGACUCAUGUUUUGAAAUUUUUAUUUAUUUUUAUUUUUAUUUUAGCAUUUAAUAUAAGAUGUAUGGUUAUACAACCUUGUUGAUUAUAUUGAAAUUAGACGAUAAAUUAUCUAAAUAUUUUGAAGAGAUCAUUCUAUUUUUUUUUAAUAAUAAAAUAUAUUUAUAUUAUAGUUUUAUAAAGCCAUUUAUACUAUUAUAAAAUAGUGUUCGCCUAAUAUAAUUAAUAUACUAAAUUUUACCAUUUAAAAAAUUAACAUAUUUAAGAUAUUAUGGUAAAACACAUGAUUCUAACAUAUUUAAAAUAUUAUGGUAAAACACAUUAUUCUCUCCUUCCAUCACUAUAGCUACCAUCACUGCCAUUUACUACACUUGGAGUUUAAUAAACUUUAAUUUUUUUAAAGAAUAUAGUUUUUUGAAUAAAAUUUAUUAUUAUAUAUUAAUAAUAUAUAAUAAUAAAUACUAAAAUCCUUAAACUUUUUUUGUUGCCAUUGAGUUUGAUAAUACAUGAAUUUGUAUUUGAUUAUUAUUUUGAAUUUAAAAUUUUUAAGGAAAUGUUUUGCUUUUCUUAGUAAACAGACUGAAUUUAUAAAAAAAUGUUACUUCAUAAAAUAAUAUCAUAUAAUAAUAAUAUAAAAAAUUUUAAUAUAAUUUUAAAAUUAAAUUUAAUUGAUUUGGACAAACUAAAGAGAUACAACAGUAGUUAUCUUCUUUUUUUUUUUUUUCUCAUUUCCUAGUAAAUUUGAAACCCUUCCCUUGGAAAAGCCCUCACCUGCAGAAGUUCUCGAGACCCCAUAAUGUUUUUCCUUCAUUAUCUUUGCUUUUGCUUUAUGUCUUAGUUUCUUUUGUCAUCUUGUACUUUCUUGAUUGGUUUUGUUGUCCACUUCGACAUUUGGGAUCUAUUUAUGAUGGCUGCUUGAGCUUUCUACCCUUAAUUAUUUCAUGUCAUUCUAACGGCAACGAUCCAAUAAAUCCUUCUUUGGAGCUCCAGUGAGAUUUACUAGUAAACCAGAGAAAAUUGGGAAGAAAUUCAGAGAGAGAGAGAAAUAGAGGGAUGAAUUCUUGGCAUUUUUCUCCCUACUGAAUUAAUGAAUUACAAUCGAGCUAAAUGGAGUGGCUUACAAAGUGGAGAAAUUUGCAAAUUUCUUGACAUAAUUUGCACUAGCUGGUUCUUAACCAACUUUCUCCACAUUUGAAUUUCAGCUUAAGCAUCCUUUCCUUCACAAAUUCUCUCCAUGUCAUUCUCCGUAGUAUUAGUCUUGUGCAACCAGUGCUCUUGAAGUUGGACAUGUACAUGAGCCAUCAAGAACAUAGAGCCAGGCACAAGAAAAUAAGAAAAAAUAGUCAUCAUCUGACAGCUUAGGCAGCAUGUACAUCGAUUAUUAGCUUCUUCAUCCAAGCAUUCACCUUUUAACUCAUAAGCUCAUAAGCAGAUGGCACAUCAUGCAAUGGGUGACCUUUUCUGUUUCUCUCGAUUAUCCUCUGUGCAAGCGAAACUUGCUUCCCAACCACAAAGAUAAAUGCCUUGCCCCUUCCUGUUGCACCUCUAGCAGUUCUUCCAACACGACGAACAUAUUCACUUGGAUCACGUGGAAAAUCAAACAGUAUAACAUGGUCCACUCCAGUAAAAUCAAUUCCACGGGAUGCUCUGUCAUGAAUUGAAGAAAUACCAGAUUACUAUGUUAUGUUAUGCUUAUAGAUGCGAGGAUGAGUGCUUCAAUAAUGUCAGAAGAGAAAAUAACCUAGUGUAAAGACGAUACCUAUCAGUGCAAACCAAAAAUAGAGAGUUUUCUCCUGGAAAAGAAUUCAUGAACUCCUUCAUGUUUUCAAGCCUUGAUUCUUUUGCCAGAGCAGCAUGGAAUGGUAGAACUCGAAUAUUGGUUCCUUUUCUGUCAAAGCGUUUUAAUACAUUCUCUACUUUUCUGCAUGUCUCGAUCUGUAGAUUUAGGAGGCAAAAUAUAAAGUGAAAUGAUUUCAAUAAAUAAUAUAUGAAAAGGUUAAGUUCCACAGUUUGGAGCUCAACCUACCUUAUUACAAAAAACAAUUGUCUUAGAAACAGGACUUUGCUCCAUAAUCUGCAAAAGAGCUGAUUUUUUAUUGAGAAAUGCUGUUUCUGGUGUCCUAUCUGUCCCAACUUCUCCACUGCAAUCUACAAGAACCUGCAAUAUAAAACCGGUAAUUAAUUUUCAUUACAUUAAAAAUUCCUUCAUAUUAUAAACUUUUAAUAUUUGUGAAACAGAUAACACAUCAAGUUAAAAAAUUGUUUUUGUCUUUAUUUCCCCUUUCUUUCUUGUGAAAACUUUCAGUACCGUGAAAAUGAUUGAGAAAUUGAAAACCUACCUCUUCAAGCCUGAUACUUGUGCGAUGCAUACCAGGGCCCAUGACUACUUCACAAUCAGGAAAGACCUCAAUAAGCUUGUUAUACACAUCUACUGGUAAAGUUGCAGUAACAAACAGAUAUUGUGUGGCAACUGGUGAAGAAUUCAUCAAGCUAUUUAAUGCAACCUCAAAGUCCUCAUCAUUAAACAGUAUAUCUACCUCAUCCAACACAACACUGCAACAUAAGAUUCAUGUCAAAUGCUUAGGGUUGGCAGAUUGUAUGAUAAAAGUCUAGUUGGUCAAAAGUCAAUAAAUCAGCAAGACCAGAAAUCAGAAUGUAACUUACCAAUGAUAGCAUAGCUGUACACAAAGACAAGGCACAACAUAGAUUAUAUAUAAUAAGGAAAUCACUUCAAUUGAUUGCUUGCAAAGGUGUUCUAAAAAGUAUACUUUAUUAUAUCUGAUUAGAUAUAUGAAUGAAUGUUCAAUUCACAAAAGCAGAUGUUUACUUAUUUGAGGUGGAUUUGAAAUCUAUAAGCAUUUCAAAUCCAUACACAUUUAUGCAUGUAAUCAAUCAUUGAGGAUAUGAUUACGGUGAUAUCUAUUAGAAUCUGAGUUCUUUUGCCACAAGAUGAUUAUUGAGAAUAAAUAUGGCAUUAAUGGGCCGGGUAUCAAACUCAUAUCCAAUACCAAUUAUGCAGGCCCUCAAAAGUCCACAAAACAAAGUGGAUAUGUGGGCGGGAUGCCCUAUUGACUCCUCGUCUCUCUCACCUAUCCACUCUUCAAAUGAAACCAUUCUACUUUCCUUUUUCUAUGGGAAUUCAACAGCUUGCAAUUCCAUUUACUCUAUUCUUAGUGAUGGGGAGACAAAAAAAAAACUUGCUUUUUUACUCAAUAACUUAUUUAGUUUCAGCAUUCAUCAAGAUCCAAGAAGUUGCCUUUGCAGCUGGACUUCGUCCUAGAAAUCCUCAUAAAAUUAUUUAUUUCAGUUUCUCAUUACAGUUUCAUUGGCUAAUCUUGUGUGGAAAACGGCCAUCCCACAUUCCCCAGGACCAGUACUCAAUAAUUUACUGCUGGUACAUAAGGAACUACCUCUAAAUGUUUUCUGGUUUUAUUUGUCAGUCUUGUUCUAACCUUACAUCCUUCUGUUUCCUGGUCAAUUUAGACCUGAACAGUUUUUACAAUUUGGGUCUCCAAAAGACAGAAAAUAUGAAUAUAUUGAAAUUAAGGAAUAAUAUAGAUGACACAGAAAGGCUAUCAUGUGCAAUGUUUGCUGUACCAGUUAAAAUAUUUGAGCAGUCCUAUAACACUUCAAAUAUUAAGUUUUGUGGGUAAAUUACACAUACAGUAUCUUAACUUUGGGGCAUGUAACAAGGUACUUAAACUUCAAUUUAUAAUAACAUAACCCCCCUCCCCUCUCCAAAAUCUUUUAAGUAACAUAAAACCCCCUAUCAUCUUCAAUAGCAAGUUGCUAAGGUAAUUGCAGUAAUGUGGCACUUAUUAAAUUUAAGGUAAUGUACUUUUUAUCAGAAAUUAAUAUUUGUUGAAAAUUUUUAAUUAAUUAAAAUUAGUAUUUUAUGACUUAGAUCUCUCUCUCUCUUCCCUUUUUCCCCUUUCUCUUUCCACUGCUUCUUCCAAUCCUUCCCCCUAUUUUCAAUUCAUCUCCAUUCCAAAUUGAACAAAAACUACAGAAGAACACAACAAAUCAACACAGAAAUUCAAUACAAGUAUAGAAAAUCUCAGCAAUGCGAAUUCAAGACAAACCUUCGCAAAAUUGGUAAGAAGGGAUCCUGAGCUUUUUCUCUCAGCGCCAGUGGUAUCCUACGCCGAUUCCUUAUGAUGAGGAAAAAGCAAAGGGUUCCUACCAAUGCUCUAUGACAAAUUGAAAGGGAGAGGGCUAUGAUGCUGCCUAUUUGUGUUGAAUCAAGCAACGAUGAGGAGAUUGCAGGUGCUGGAGGGGAAGAUGGGGCUUGUGAUAAAGGAAAGGAGGUGAUGGAAGAGAGUGGGGGUAGUUCGAGUGGGGAGGAACGCAAGAGAAAACGAACCCAAGAGAAAGGGGCCUGUGAAAGGAACAGGAGAGAAUAAAUCUGUAUAGAGAAAAGGAGAUGAUGGUGAACACUGAGAAGUGGGUUUGACGCGAGUUGUUGGCAGGUCUAAGUCUGAGUUUAGGUUCUGUUCGAAGAAAGGAUCUGAGAGUUUAGGUUCUGUUCGAAGAAAGGAUCUGAGAGAGAGGUGGGGGAUUGGUGAAUGGUGGUGGUUAGAAGAAGAAGUGCAAAUGAACCAAGUUAUUAAUGAGCUAUUCGAGAUUUAGUUCGAUAAAAGUUCGAUCGGAUUCAAACUUAGUUUUUAGAUUCGUUUAAUAAAUGAGCCGAGUUUGAACUCCAUAUUAUUCGGCUCACUAAGGCUCGUGAACUCAGCUCGUUUCCAAGUUUAUGAGCAGACUCAUGAAUUAGCUCGUGAACACGGUUGUAAAGCGAGCUCCAUGUCAUAAAAGAGCUAAACUAAAAGUGUGCAUAAAUUUUUGUGAGCCAUAUAUGAGUUUUCUAAAGUUUAUCUUUGCAGUCUACACAGUUUGAUUACAUUCUUAGAGGUUGCAAAUAUUUAAGAGCUCAUUUUUUAUAGGUUCACGAGCUAAUUGGUAUACAUACUCAUUUAAGUAAAAUUAUUUAAUUUUAAGCUUAUUAAUUUUAAACUAAAACUUAUUAUAAUUGUAAAUAAAUUGAACUGUUUGUGAACUAUUCAAAAUCAAGCCCGAUAAAAAGCUCAGUUCAUCUUAGCUCGUUCGCUAAACGAGCCAAAUUUGAACUUAUUAAUACUCGACUCGAAUUCGAAAUGAAUAAAACUUAAAUUCGAAAAAAAUUUUAAACCAACUAAACUUGAGCUCUUCAAAGCUCAACUCGGCUAGGUUUAUUUAUACCCCUAAUUAGAAGGUUUUGAAGAUGCUUGGUGUCUAGGAUUUAGCUUCGACAAGGAGAUGCUAGUGAAGAGGAUUUUGGUUAGAGAGCUUCUAACCUUUGGUUAUGUGAUUACAAGAAUGAGAUGGGGACUAAUGAUGGAGGUGGUGUGAAGCAGAGGAUCGUCAAAGUGUGGAUAGCGAAAGAAUAAUGGAAUAGAAAGUGUAGAGAGAGAAAAGGGAAGGGGGAGAGAAAUUUAUCAAAUAAUAUAUUAUUUUAAUUAAUCUGAAUUUUUUUUUUACAAAUAUUAAAUUAUGAGAGAGAAAACACGUUACUUUAAAUUUAAUAAAUGCUACCUCAGUGAAAUUAACUUAGAAACCAAAUUUAGAAGUUUUUAGGGUGUUUUAUGUUACUUAAGUUCAAGAUUAAAGCGUUUCUAUUACAAAUUGAAGUUUAGAUACCUUAUUGUUACACACCCCAAAGUUGAAGUACCAUUUGUGUAAUUUGCCCCAAGUUUUGUUCACACAAAGUUGCUCCUCAAGAGAGUUUGAAACAUUCAUUUUAGGAUUCUACAUUUUAGAUAUCCAGUCAAAAUUAGUUGACAUCUAACAAAAGAUUUAAGGCUUUGCAAUUUUAAUACUUUCUCAUAUUUUAUCUUCUAGAAGAGGAAUCUAAUGCUCCUAUAUAUGAUAAUUUUUAUCAACAAUUCUUCUUAUCAAUAUGCAAUCAAGCUUGAACAUUCCAAAAUAAUAAACAGAUUAUAGUUAUUCAGUGAGAGAGAGAGAGACAAAAGCCAAUCAGGCCUAGCCUAGUUGGUCUACUCGCACACUUUAAAAGAGUUUGGAGAGUGGGGAGUCUUGGGUUCAAGUUCAAUUCCUCCCAUCCACCAAUAUAGUUGGAGUUUCCAAAGGGUUAUGAGAGAGAAAACACGUUACUUUACAUUUAAUAAAUGCUACCUCAGUGAAAUUAACUUAGAAACCAAAUUUAGAAGUUUUUAGGGUGUUUUGUGUUAUUUAAGUUCAAGAUUAAAGCGUUUCUGUUACAAAUUGAAGUUUAGAUACCUUAUUGUUACACACCCCAAAGCUGAAGUACCAUUUGUGUAAUUUGCCCCAAGUUUUGUUCACACAAAGUUGCUCCUCAAGAGAGUUUGAAACAUUCAUUUUAGGAUUCUACAUUUUAGAUAUCCAGAGUCAAACUUAGUUGACAUCUAACAAAAGAUUUAAGGCUUUGCAAUUUUAAUGCUUUCUCAUAUUUUAUCUUCUAGAAGAGGAAUCUAAUGCUCCUAUAUAUGAUCAUUUUUAUCAACAAUUCUUCUUAUCAAUACGCAAUCAAGCUUGAACAUUCAAAAUAAUAAACAGAUUAUAGUUAUUCAGUGAGAGAGAGAGAGACAAAAGCCAAUCAGGCCUAGCCUAGUUGGUCUACACGCACACUUUAAAAGAGUUUGGAGAGUGGGGAGUCUUGGGUUCAAGUUCAAUUCCUCCCAUCCACCAAUAUAGUUGGAGUUUCCAAAGGGUUAUGAAGGGAACAGACAAAUCCCGUUGUAUAGCUCAUACUGUGCUAUGACCAAUUUGGCCUCCUCCUUCCCAUCCCCUUCCCUCCCCACCAAAAAAAAAUAUUAUAAUGCAUGAUGCAAUGCCCCAAACCUACUCUCAUUAAUUAUUUAUUGAAAUGAGAAAUUUGCCAACACUAAUUGAAAAAUACAAAACGAAAAUUGUGCUAAAAUCGCUUUUAGGUUCACUUUUGCAAGAUCUCAUGCUUUGCUUUACAAACAAGGUUCGAGAACCUCAAAAUGAAACAGAGAGCCACACAGCCUUAAUUAUAAUAUCCAUAUCUUGUUCGAUUAGUGAUUAGUUGAUAAUGAGACCACUGAAAGUGAUGAUAAUGAUACUAUGCAUUUUGAAAGGAGGAAAAACACUAGAAAAAUUAUGGAGGGUGUAAAAACACUUUAAUGGGCAACUACACCAACCUAAUUUCCAUUUAAAAUAAAUAUAAUAUGGAAGGAGGCAAUAUUGAAAGAAGCUUACCAUUUAAGACUUGUUAACUGUAAGAAUCCUUCUUUAACUAAGAACAUGAAACGUCCAGGCGUCACUAUUAAAACGUCAACACCUUGUUCUAAAUUUUCCAGUUGAGUUCUCUGAGAAAAUCCACCUGUUGCAGUCAUAGAUCGAAAUGGAACCCCAAAUUUUGAUAUUGAUCGGCAAUUAUUCAAAACCUGUACAAAUUUCAGAAAAAAUAGCUAUAGUGCAUAAAAAGGACUUGAAUGACACAAUUUUCUAAAUUCCUUGGACAAUAUAUGAAAACUUGUGCCCCCGCAUAGAGACAUACACAAAUUUUUCUCUUCUUUUAUUUUUCUUGAAAGGAAAAAGAGGCAACCUGUUGUAGAUGCAUUCGUAGGAAAAAAACAUACCAAGUAUAGGAAAGCUAGCUGAAGUCCAUCUGCAGCUAUAAUCCGGAUGAGGGUGAUCCAAAUUUUUCUCAAUGGAACUUAGAUAAUUGUCUUGUUAUGAUAUGGUUACUUAACUCUAUGCAACCUCAUAUCUCUAAGUCCUAUUUGUUACUUGAUACUGCUGCAAAGAUAUGAAAGGCUUUAUCCUUGACUUAUUCCAAGAUUGAAAAUAAUGCCCAAAUUUAUGAUAUUCGAAAUAAAAUCCAUCGUACUAAGCAAGGAGAAAUGACUAUCUCCAAAUUUUAUUCGAAGCCAUGUGGCUUAUUCAAAAUAAAAUUCAUCGUACUAAGCAAGGAGAAAUGAUUAUCUCUAAAUUUUAUUCUGAGCCAUGUGGCUUAUGGCAGGAGCUUGAUUACUAUCAGCACUGUCAAGUAGCUAAUACUGAAGAUGCAGUCAAAUUUCGGAAAAUAAUUGAAAAGGAGCGGAUCUAUAAUUUUCUUGUAGGGUUGAAUAAUGAAAAUGAUCCAAUUCGGAUCCAAGUGUUAGAAAAAAACCUUUUUCCUUCGCUAGAAGAGGCCCAUGCCCAUGUUCAACAAAGGGAAAAUCGCCGACAUGCUAUGCUCUAUACUGCAACAGUUGAAAAGGCUAGGUUGGCUACUGGUUUGAGCACACCACAGCCUCCUAAUUCUGAGAAAGAUCACUUGCAUCAUGACUAUUGUGAGAAACCGAGGCAUACCAAAGAAACUUGCAAGAAGUUAUAUGGUCGUCCCGCUGGAGACCGUGGGGGAAAGAGAUACCUCUAGAGCUCAAGCUAAUUUAUCAAAAACUAUGGAGCCCUUUAAGAAAACAACAACUGCUGAGUUCCUUUUUCCUAAUGAAAUUCAGAGUCUCAAGCGCCUUCUGUCUCAUAUUGACACCUCUUUCUCCUCUAGUGCCACAUCUAACUUUGUGAAGUCAGGUAAUACUUUCUCUCUUUAUACUGUUCCAGGGAUUAUUGAUUCUAAUGUGAAUAGACACAUGACAGCUCUUUUAAAGGCUUUUCAAUUAUUUUCCUUCUCUAACCAAAGAGAGUAUCAGAAUUGAUAAUGGCUCUUUUACUCCCAUAUCGAAACAGGUUCUGUUAUUUGUGCAUUCAAUAUUAAAUUAUCAUCUCUCCUUCAUAUUCCUUGCUUUCCUAUCAACUUUUUAUCUAUCAGUGUUAUUACUAAUACUCUUAACUGUAAAAUUAAAUUCUUUCAUGAUUAUUGUGUUAUUCAGAAUCUUCUCACAGGAAAGAGGAUUGACAAUGGUAGACUGCAUGAUAGCUUAUACAUGUUAGAAGGUAAUUCAGGUUCUCCGAUAUCUCACGCUUGUUUUGGAGAAAAUAAAGACAUCAAUCAAGAAAUAAUACAAUGGCACAGGCGGCUAGGGCAUCCAUCAUUUUUUGUCUUAGAAAAAUUUUAUCCCAAUUUAUUUGUUAGAACUCAGUUUGGUUCUUUAUUUUAUGAUGCUUGUGAGUAUGCUAAGCACACUAGAACCUCCUAUCCUUUGAGUCAUAAUAAAAACCAAAUUCCUCUUGUGACUAUUCAUUUUAAUGUUUGGGGGCCUACACAAAUUGUCUCUUUAUCUGGUAAUCAAUAGUUUGUUACUUUUAUGAUUGUUGCACUCGAAUGACUUAGGUAUAUUUGAUUAAAGCUAAAAGUGAUGUCUUUUUUUUUUGUUCUCGAUCCUUUCACAAAAUGAUUUGCAGUCAAUUUAAUACUAAGGUGAAAAUUUUAAGAGCUGACAAUGGAAGAGAAUAUAUGGAUAGUAGGUUUUCUACUUAAUUGGAGUCCAAUGGGAUAGUACACUAGACAAGUUGUCCUUAUAUUAGUGCACAAAAUGGCGUUGCUAAAAGAAAAAAUAGACAUCUAUUGGAGGUAGCUCGAUCUCUUAUAUUCACCAUGAACCUACCUAAAGCAUAUUGGGGAGAUGCAGUCUUUGUAUCUGCUUAUCUUAUCAAUCCAAUGUUCCUCAAUGUCCUUGACUUCAUGAGUCCUUUAGAGGUUCUACAAAGAAGGGAUUUAUACAUUGUUCCACCAAAAAUAUUUGGGUGUGUUUGCUUUGUCCAAACUAGAAUGGCGAGAACGUUGGACCCCAAGACUCUUAAACGUGUGUUUUUUGGGUAUUCUCUGACACAAAAGGGAUACAGAUGUUAUCAUCUUCCAUCUAGAAAAUACUUUUUCAGUAUGGAUGUUACCUUUAGAGAAACUCAACUCUACUUCAGUACCACCCACUCACCUCUUCAAGGAGAGAAUAAUGAGCAAGAAGCGGUGAUCCUAAAUUCUGUGAUUCUGAAUAAUAUGGUUCAGAGGGAGAGUUCUAGUAGAUACGGGAAGACGUCUAAUCACAGGGAGAGAAUUGGACGUUUGGACAAGCCAAAUUUGAGGAGAUAUUCCAGGAAAAACAAGGCAGAAGAAGCCAUUAUGUAGCUUAUUCAGAAUCAAGAAUCAAGAAUCUUCCAUUAGUGAGUUACCCUCAACUCCUAAAUGCUCCAAUGAUUUAGAUAAACCAAUUUCACAAAGAAAAUGUAUCAAAUAUUGUACCAAACACCCUAUUUCUAACUUUGUUUCUUAUGAAUCUUUGUCUCCCUUCUAUAGAGCCUUUGCCUUGUCUAUUUCCUCUGUAUCUGUUAUAGAUUAUAGGAAGUAAAUAUAUUAAUAUAGAAAGUAAAUAUUGAUAGAUGGGUUAGUUGCUUAAUCUUAGAGAUUGUAUAAUCAUAGACUUGAUUUUCCUUCCCGUUUAGAUACCGUCUUUUAUAUAUAAAUAGGUUGUAAUCUUUAUUAUGAAAUACAACAACAAAUAUUAUCUUUCUACAUGGUAUCAGAGCCAGGUUCGUAGAGAUUUAUUUUUUCUCUCUCUCGUCAAGUCUUAAAUUUUUGGAGACUGAGGACUCCUGUUUCUUGCAGCUCCCUUGUCAAAUUUGCGGUUCAUUUGGGUGUUGGGUGGAGGCUUUUUUUUUAUAAUGUUCAUUUGGGUUACCCAUAAAAGAGUAACAUUUGGAGACUUAGGGCUCUGUUUAUUUGGGUUACUCAUAAAGAGUAAUAUUUAGAGACUUAGGGCUCUGUUCAUUUGGGUUACCUAUAAAAAGGAUAACAUUUGGAGACCUAGGGCUCUGUUCAUUUGGGUUACUCAUAAAGGGUAACAUUUGAAGAUUUAGGGCUCUGUUCAUUUGGGUUACUCAUAAAGGGUAACAUUUGGAGACUUAGGGCUCUGUUCAUUUGGGUUACUCAUAAAGGGUAAUAUUUGGAGACUUAGAGCUUUGUUUAUUUGGGUUACCCAUAAAAGGUAACAUUUGGAGACUUAGGGCUCUGUUCAUUUGGGUUAUCCAUAAAGGGUAACAUUUGGAGACUGAGGGCUCAUCGGGUACUGUUUACGACUACUAUUCAUCGGGUACUGUUCAUCGGGUACUGUUCAUUGAGUACUGUUCAUCGAGUACUGUUCACGGGUUCGAAAUUUUAUUCACAGGAAGGUGAUUAGUCUUAUUAAUCAUUCUGAAUUUGUUAAAAAAAUUAAUGGAGUAUUUGGAUUUCUAUAUUUUAGCAAAGGGAAUAUUUUUCGUAUUUAUGAUGUAAGGCGUUUUACCAAGCUGAGAAAAUGUGGUUUCCCGUUCUAGUGCUGAACCUGAAUGUCGAGUCAUGGCAAAAACCGUUUGUGAAGUUUUGUGGGUACGUCAAUUAUUGGAAGAAUUUGGGUUCACAAAUUCGGUGUAUGCUAAGUUGUAUAGGACGAGUUGAUUAUAUAUCUAACAAGUUGGGCAUGAUUAACAUUUAUGCUCCAACUUGAGGGGGAGUUAUAGAUUAUAGGAAGUAAAUAUAUUAAUAUAGAAAGUAAAUAUUGAUAGAUGGGUUAGUUGCUUAAUCUUAGAGAUUGUAUAAUCAUAGACUUAUUUUCCUUCCCGUUUAGAUACCGUCUUUUAUAUAUAAAUAGGUUGUAAUCUUUAUUAUGAAAUAUAACAACAAAUAUUAUCUUUCUACAGUAUCUAUUCCACAAGAUUAGAAGAAAGUUCUUGCAUAUCUUAAAUGGAAAAGAGCAAUGAUUGAAAAGAUGAAAGGCCUGCAAAAAAUGAGACAUAGUGAAACACAAAAUUGAUGGCACAAUUGAACGGUUUAAGGUCAGAUUGGUUGCUAAAGGUUUUACCCAAACCUAUGGAGUAAAUUAUCAAGAGACAUUUACCCCAGUUGCAAAAAUGAAUUCAAUCAGGAUCCUAUUAUGUUGUGCAGCCAACUUGGACUGGACUUUAAAGCAGUUUGAUGUGAAGAAUGCAUUCAUUCAUGGAGAUUUAGAGAAAGAGGUGUUCAUGGAUAUCCCUGCUAAGUUUGUUUGAUGAGAAGACACAAAGAAAGGUGUGCAAAUUAAAAAAGGUUUUAUAUGGGCUAAAAUAGUCUCCUAGAGCUUGGUUUGACAGGUAUAGUAGAGCCAUGAUAUCCUUUGCUUACCAACAGAGCAAUGCUAAUCACACUCUGUUUAUUAAACAUCACAAGAGCAAGAUCACCCUUCUUACUGUGUAUGUUGAUAAUAUAGUGGUAACAGGUGAUGAUAAAUAGAAAAUGGCUCAACUAAAAAAGUUGUUGGCCGAAGAAUUUGAAAUCAAAUAUUUAGAAAAACUUCAAUAUUUCCUAGAUAUUGAGGUGACCAAAUCAGAAAAAUGAAUCUUUAUCUCCUAAAGAAAGUACAUUCUGGAUUCUUUUAGAAGAAAUCAAUAUGUUGGAGGUGUAAACCCGCAGCAUCUCCCAUUAAAAGUAAUCACGAGAUGCAAGCAGGAACUAGUGAGUCCGUGGAUAUUGGUGGAUAUUGAAAGAUACCAGAGAUUGGUAGAAAAGUUUAUUAAUCUCUCACACACUCGACCGGAUAUAGCCUAUAUUGUUAGCUUAGUCAGCCAAUUCAUGCAUGACCCUCACGAGAUUCAUAUGCAGGUUGUCCUUCGCAUCUUGAGAUACUUAAAGUCUGUGCCAGGGAAAGAUCUUAUUUACUCCAAACAUGGUCACUUCCGAGUUGAAACUUUUAUAGAUACAGAUUGGGCAGGAUCUCUCGAUGACAAGAGAUCCACCUCUGGCUACUAUAUAGUUGUGGGAGGGAACCUUGUCACCUGGAGGAGCAAAAAACAAAGUGUUUUUUCUCAGUCAAGUGCUGAAGUAGAAUAUAGAGCAAUGGCCCAAGGUGUGUGUGCACUUUUAUGGUUGCAGAAGUUACUGGAGGAGCUGAGCUUGCUCUAGAGAAACAAGAUAACUUUGUAUUGUGACAACAAAUUAACAGUCCGUCUUGAGUUUAGUUCAUGUGACUUCUACCGGGCCUCUUGCGGAUGUGUUUACUAAAGGCUAAACAAUAGAACCUACCAUAAUCUGAUUUAUAAGUUGGGCAUGUGCUAUAUCUAUGCACCAACUAGAGAGGGAGUAUUGACUUAUUUGAUAAUUUCUAGUAAAAUAAUUUGAUUUGAUAACAGAUUCUAGGCAUAAAUUAGGAUCCUUAAUUAUCUCUGUAAUUAUUUGCUUCCUAUUUAGUCGUAAUUCUUUGUAUAUAAAUAGUCAUGUAAAUUACUUGUAAAAAUUAAGAGUAAAAUACAAGAAUACUCUAAAAUUCUCCAAAAUUCUUCAGUUAUCAAGUAGGAUUUAUUUUUAUUAGAAUAAUUAUUCCAUUAGGUCUCUUGUCAAGUAGGAUUCAUUAUUAAUAGUUGUCCCACUAGGACUCUUAAAGCUACCAUGUAAUCUGCUUUAUAAAUAUAGAGUCGAGAUACAUCAACAAAAAUCAAGCAACUAUUACUUUUUUCAAAUAGAGAUUUAAGAUUCUCUCUUCAAUGAAUCUAAGAUGCUAAGAGCUUCGUCCAACGAGCUUCCAAAAUUCUGUCAACAUAGGGUCUUCAAGAAGAAGUAAGAAUCAAAACAAGGGGAAGGGUACUGUUGAGUUGGAGGAUUUUUCUACCCACCGACCCGUGACGCAAUCCUUAGCCCAGGAACUUGACAAAUUGGUAUCAGCAGCAAACGUCAUAGGACAUUCCAACAACCCACGAGAUGAGCUGAGAUCCCUAUUUCAGGAAGCACAAGCAUUAACAGAGGCAAUAGUAGCGCAAGUGGAAGCUAGAGUAACCAAAACUGAGUCCCACCUAGAGCUGCUGCUACAAACCUUAUCCAUGCAAUUGCAAGAAAUACUCAUAGGAACAAAUAAGAAUCUAGGAAAAGAAGUAGGAGGAACUUUCGAAUGCAGCAGCAACCAAUUAAAUGAAAACAGAGCAGAAGAAGUCGAGAAUACUUGACCUAGAGCAAGGACAAGUCCUCCGUGCUAGAGUGAACCGUGGCAAUUGGGGUCUUUUAGUUACUUGGCAGAGCUGUCACGACUUUGAAGCAACUUGGGAAUCAAUCAACCAAUUCAAAGAUGCUUAUCCAACAUUCAAGCCCGAGGAUAAGCUUUUUCUCCAAAAGGAGAGUGAUGUUGUGAAGUUGAUGCGUGCAUAAGGGGGGCAAUGCCUUUCAACAACUUAGAAUGUUGUGAUGUUCUUCUGAGUAUUCAAUUAGGAAGGCAAGAAAUCAUCAGGACUCGGGGAGAAUUCGAAUUACUCAUGUUGAAUACCACAUUUAGAAGAUAAGAGAAAGAAAUGGGCUUAUUUCUUAAAAUUCGUAGAUCCAAUUUCAACCAUAAUUAAUUCAAUUUUAAAAGCUCAUACAUGAGAUAUUUUAAUGUGUUUUGGUGUCUUUUCUAAUCCUAUAUAAAUUAGGAAUCAAAUUAAUAAGAUUAGAUAUAGUUUUCAUUGUUCAAAUAGGAUUAUCUUAUAUUUUCCUAUUUCAACUAGGACUUGCUUUAUUUUCCUAUUUCAAUUAGAAUUUAUUUUAUUUUCCUAUUUCAACUAGGAUUAGGAGAGAUUUGGCUAUAAAUAGCCUUUAUUUUGUAUGCAGGAGAAAGAACAAGUUACUAAGUAAAGAUUUCAUAUUUUUCUCCAUGAUGAGAAUUUAUUCUUGGAACUUUGGUUCUUCUCCAUGUUUAGCAACCUAUCAAAGGCAUUUUAAUAUGGAUUUCCUCACUCCAUGUUUAGUUAACUUAUCAAGAAUUUCUUGUGACGUUCUCUAACUGGAAUCGCUGGAUUAUCUUCGUUUCUAAUUAUAUUGAUUGAUUAGGGGUGUGGUAGAGCAACCUUAUGGAAUAUAUCUUUGCCUCGUCCUUUGUUAAAUUGUGUGACGGAGUUUUUGAUCACAAGUUGAUUCUGGAUUCCACAUCAGGAUGCAUGCAUUCAUAGGAAAGAAGUAUUCCUAGCAUAGGACUGCUAGUUGAAGUCCAUCUGCAGCCUUAAUCCAAUAAGCAAUAGGAGUCAUUAAAUUGUUAUUUGUUAUCUCCCAUUAUUUUAUUAGUAGGAUUAUCGUUAUCAAGUAGGACUUAUUUUUAUUACAAUAAUUGUUCCAUUAGGACUCCUAAGUCAAGUAGGAUUUAUUAUUAGUAGUUGUCCCACUAGGAGUCUUAAGGCUACCAUGUAAUCUACCCUAUAAAUAUAGAGCUGAGGUGUUACAAGCUCCCUCCAAUGAGCUGCCAAAGUUCUGUCAACAUAGGGUCUUCAAGAAGAAGUAAGAAUCGAAACAAGGGAAAGGGUCCUGUUGAGUUGAAGGAUUUUUCCAUCCACCGAUCCAUGACGUUACCUUAGCCUGGGAACUUCACACAACUCUAUACGGUGAACAACUUGUUAUUCUAACAAAACAGCGCUCUUGUUAGUAUUUCAUGAGUUCAUGGUGUCAAAUUAGCAACUCUGCUGAGUAAUUCCGUUUGCUAACUAAUUACUCUUCUUUGUCUCAUAACUACAUGGAAAUUUAAGCCAUUUUUUGAAGUCCCCACCUUGAAGCUUCCUUGGCCUUGAUUAUGUUUCUUCUUCUCACUACAUUGAUUCAAGUUAUGCAUAUUAUUAUUUAAGAAUUUAGAAUUUACUGUGAACCUCAUGAAAAUCAUAGAUCCAUAAAAUAGUGGAAGAAUAUUCAAAGCACAAUUUAUUAACUCACAUCUAAAUGCUAGCACCAAAGAGUUUUAUAUUCCAUGCAGAGAUAAUAUUGAAAAGAUCAUGCAAGUUGUAUUUUAGAGAUUAAAAAAAGUGUAAUUCAUGAGUGAGAGAGAGAAUAGAUGGAUUUGAGUUAGCUUAAGCACAAAAGCAGCUACCUGAGAAGCCAGCUCAGCAGUUGGCACCAUGAUAAGGACUUGAGGACUUUUUGACAAUGGUUUACCAAGUCCUUCGAGUUCUUCUAGCCUGAGACGUUGAAUUAUAGGUAUAAGAUAUGCCAAUGUCUUUCCUGAUCCACUUUGAUCUGCUAUCACACAGCUCUUCCCUUCAAUUACAGGUGUAAAUGCCAUGGCCUGCCAUUAUCCAAAUGCAGAAAAUAGAGAAGUCAUACCUGAUAAUAUGAUAACUUCUCUAAGGUGUGAUGUGAGAUCUCUAGCAUUAAUAAUUGAAUCCACUAUAAACAAAUAGAAACUGAAAGUAGCACUCUAACUGUCACUCAACUAAAUAGAAAAUACGGCCACAUGGCUUUGUAAUAUGCAAUCUCUCUUCUAUAAAAUCAAAGGUGAUUUCUUUCUUCUAAAUUGAAACAAAACCUCCUUUAGUUUCUCUCUUUAAUCUCUCCAAUAACAACUACUUUUAUUAAGUAGCUCAUCUAAAAGUAAUUCAUCACUAUAUUUUUCUCAUUUUAAUGUAAUUCAACAAAAUCAAAACUGAACCAUUUUAGCCAAAACUUUUACAUCAUCUUUGCAUCUUGCCAAAAAAAAUAAUAAUAAAUAAAUAAUAAGAUUAUCAACAAAUAUUUUUCUCCAUUGUACCCAUUUCCUUCUCUGUUUGUCCCUUUUUUAUUGUUUAAUAUUUCAUUCUUUUAAUUUAGGAGAGAGAAGAGGGGCUGCUUACAUAAUAUCAGAACAGAAUCUAAGGAUGGAUAACUUAUAAUAAUCAUUUAUUAUAAACUAGUUAGAAUUAGAGGUAGACUUUGGACCAAAAAAGAUCUGUUUUACAGAUGGAAUGCAAAUCAGUUCUUUGUCAACAAAACAGGUUAUUGAUAUACCUGAAUAUGUGAAGGGCGUAGGAAAAGCUGCCCCUUCAAAGAUUCAACCAUAAAGUCACCGCAUCCCAAAUCUUUAAAUGAUUCCCUACUAAAGAAGUCAUUGUCAGCAGAAGAUUUUUUCUGCAUUUGCAGAGGAGUUGUUGAUUUGGAUUUGAGGCUGUGAACGUGGCCUACAUUGCCCCAUCCUCUUGAGUCAGAAGAACCAGCAGGUGCUGAAUGUUUUGGUCCCGCUCUUUUCCGAAAAGAUAUUUGAGAUUCAUCUUGUAUAAUUUCAUUAUCCAAGAUCUGAAGUUCACCAUGUUUGGCAUAGGCAUCAGAACUUUUCAUGUCCUCCCUCAUCCCAGUUGCCAUUGUUUCUCUAAAGUUCUGCAGCAAUGAAACUUCUGACAUCAUUUUAUCAGUUGUAAGUGUAGGCAGAUUCGGAUUUAGUAUAUGAGCCAUAGGUUCUUAAAAUGUAGACGUGCAUGUUUAGUUUACCUUGUCCUUCACCUGUGAAGUCUUUUUCAUUAGAAGUUUUAACUUGUGUGCUUUCAGUUUUCUAAAAGUAGAUGGUGUUGGAGAAGCAAUGUUUUCCGUACUUGCAAUGCCUGUGAGCCACAAAAUAAAAUUAAAAUCCAAGGGAUAGUGGGAAAGUAAAUGAACAAAUUUAGUAAGACAUGUCUUUAAGUUUUUGGGUUUUAGAUAAGAUGAUGGUGUAAAUUGUCAGCGAUUGUAGUUCAAUUGGGAAAGAUAGGUAGUUAAAUCAAUUUGCUAGUUUAACAUCACUACUCCCAAAUUCAAACAAAAAUCACAGCAAGGAACUUAUGGAUUUGAACCAAAACAAGGGAUGAUACACCUAAAUUCUCAAACUUUUUUAUUCAACAAACUUACAAAAGGAAAUAAAAUAAGUAAAAUUUAAACUGAAAAUUGAGAAAAGAAAAGAAAAGGGUACCUGGCGAAGCAUCUUCACUAUUCUUGUUCGGAAGAUGGGAGCAAGCGCUAUCGUCAUCGUCGCCAUCAAGCUCUGGAACAGCUUGAAAGGGAGUGUUCAAAGCCAAAACCCUUUUACUGCUCUUCAAAUCAAAACUGAAGAAUAAGCACCUGUGGUUGUGGGAGCCAGUGAUUUGAGGCCUCAGGUUUGUCAGAGGAUGAGGAAAAGGAAUAGCACCCAUUGCCAGCAUCUCUUCCCACACUUUUCCUUCGUUUUCCCUCGCGUCUUCUCCGCUCGCUAUAUAGAAAGAAAGUUUUCCUUCAAGCCGCUAGCAAGAAUAUCUCCUGCAUGCUCCUAUCAACAAGGUAAGCCUAUUUUCUUUUUCAUCAAUUUCAAAUUAUAGAUUAUUUUUGAAAAAUAAUAAAUUAUUUUAUUGACUUUCUAAUAUAUUCCUAUUGAGUAUUGCAUUAAAAAAUAAAAUAUAUUAAUUUUAAAACUAAUUUAAUAAUCUAUCUAUAAAUCUAUUUAUUUAAUUUCCAUAUCUAUUAUUUAUUUUUUAUGUAUUUCAAUCAAUUAAAAUUAUUCAUAUAUAAACAUAUAAGAUUAAUUUUAGUAAAAAACUGACUUCGAAAUUUUAUUAAAAUUCCUAUUUUUUAUUAGAAUUUUAUUAGCUAAAAUUUAGUCUAUAUAUUAAUUUAUUUUAUUUUAUUUACCAUUUAAAAAGUAAAACUAAUUCUUUAUUAUCAUAUUAUUAAUUUAUUACAAAUACUUUUAAAAAUCACAUUAUUUAUUGAUCAUCUGAGAUCCAGAAAAUAGGGUUUUACAAGUAUUCUGUAAAACUGGAAAAAGCUUAGACCUAGAGGAGAAUAUUUCUCCUUUUAUAUAUUUUCUUUUGUCCGCUAAUGACGUGCAACAGAACGUAUGUCAUUGGACUACCCAUCCCUGUCACGUUGAUAUGGACGUACGAGAAAAUCAGAUUGCUGCCCCAUGCGUAACGGCCCCUGAUUCUCCCGGACGCGCGUAUGGGUGGUCUCUCGUAAAAGAGGAGUAGGUCUCCUUCCUGAUUCCGGGCUGGGCCGGAAGAUAUGAUAUGGGUUGAACCCAGAGAGGAUUUGUUCAUCGGGCCCAAAGAGCUUGGCCGGCCUGAUUGAGGAAAUUGGUGGGAGUCCGGCCUCCAGACUGAGUGGACCGGACAUGAUGCAUAUACGAAGCUUGAGGGCCUCCAGAUAAUGGGCUGGUAUCGUGGGCCUGGCCCCAGACUGGGGUGAAGAGAUCCAGUGGUCAUCAAUUGCCCCUUUACCUUCUCGUCAGUUACUGCCCGACUGAUGAGGGGGUAAAUAUCGAGAGUAAUAAUGACCGCGCUGUCUCAAGACAAAACUGUGCAGAGCAACUUUUCGUCUCAUUAUUGUAUCACAUUUUGAAUUCCUUCUGUCCCUUCGAAAUGCUUGCUCUCUCCUGCUCUCUGUCCUUCUACGCUCUCUUCUGUUCAUCUACUAUACCGCUCUUCAGGUACGCCUCUUCUACUACCAUGGAAAUCUCUAAGCUUCCCGAAGUUUUUAAUCUUGAGUCAUGUAUCACUCCCUCUACCAUAACUAAGCUCAUUUCCCAGAGGUAUUUUGAUACUCCUCUUUACCUUAUCCGAGCUCCUCACCGAAAUGAAAGGAUUGUUCUUCCGGACCCCCCUCCUCCUGGUCUGAUAGAUCCUCAGAAGGAUCGUAGCAUAGUCUUUUUUGUUAAACAACGGGACUUCGAUCUGACUUUUCCGUUCACUCCUUUUUUCAUCGAGGUUUUUCAGUAUUUUGGGAUAACCCCCCGGAUGCUGUCCCCAAAUUCUAUUUUGUUUAUGUGUUCCUUCGAAUCCAUCUGCCUAAGCUGGGGCUUUACGCCCACGGCGCGUCUGUUUGUGACCUUUUUUCGUCUCAUCAGGGCAAGUAACUGUUUUUAUUAUUUUGCCCCCCGUGGGGGGUUGUCCAUCCUCACGGGCUACAAGGAUUCCAUAAAGGGCUGGGUAGAGGGUUUUGUAGUUGCGGAGCUGAAGAAAGAAUCUGGCCGGUCGUGGGGGGUAGAGCUCGACUGGGAGGAUGUCUCUCUGGGUUAUAAUGACCUGCCCCAGCUGAGCCUCACCCGACAGGUCGUGUACCUUCGGUUGACUUCUGUCGACAAGAAGUAUGAUGUAGAGAAGUGUAUGUUCGCCUGUAAUCUUAGGGAUAUCCAAGAUGCGGGUAUUGUGCCUUGUCCAGCAGUUUUGCCUGUUCUUUGUGAUUUCUUCUGGAGAUUAUGCUAACCUGUUCUGAUUUUGUAUUUCUUGCAGCUUCUGACGUCAAAAUAGACCAAAUUAAGCCCCCGAAGAACUUAAUUCUUUCUCGGGAAAGCAUGAACGCGGCGCUGGAUGCCCUCCAAGCAGGGCGACGUGUGUCAGAGGCUACUGAGGAGGUGGCCCAGGUUAUUUCUUCUAGGACAGUUAGCCGACCACCUGCUCCGACUUCUUCACGAGCUCCUAAAUCGAGCUCCCGAGGAGCCAGGUCUUCUAGGCCGACCAGCCGCAGCAGAUCAAGCUCGGCCGUUCCAUCCUCCCAGGCUCCAGCAUCUAGAUGAGUUUCAGUUUCAAGGGCGGAGGAGACUCCCCAGGUCGCCGCCGAGUCAGUUGAGGACAUCAAACUGGCGAAGAAAGAUUUGGCUGUGCCUUCCGGGGGUAUUUCUGAAGAGGUGCCUAGGACACGCCUUGCCGACGUCAGCAGCCCUAGGGGCGAGAAAGAGACCAGCCCAGCAAAGGGAGAUAUUCAGGGGGACGUUACUGAAGUUGCCCCUGUGAUUGAGGAAGGGGGUCCGGUCCGGCUAAUGAUGGGGUCGUAGUGGAGGAGGUAGGAAGUAAGCGUCCUCCUCCUUCGAAAGAGCCUGCCCCGGCUCCUAAGAGAUCUCGGGCCUCCGGGAGGCCUGCUCUAGCCCUGCCUGCUAUUGGAAAGGAGAAGGCUUUUGUGGUGCCUCUGUUGUCUGCCCCAAACAAUGACAUACUGAACGCAGAGGACAUCACUCAUCAGUCCCCGACCAAUGUGGUGGCUAAGUUAAUCAAGGAGCGGAUGUUCGGUGGGCUCACGGAGGCUUCGGACCCUCGUCUGCUUGCCCUGAUUGGCCAUUUAGCUACUUCUACCAGAGAGCAGGUAGCGUUCCAGUCCCGACCUCGAGGGGAGCUUGGAGACUGCAUCAGGGAGAUGCUUCUGAUGGUAAGUUGUUUCUUUUGCUUUUGCCUUUAGCUCUCUUUCUUCUUUAUCUUUAUCUUGACGGUCGUUUCUUUGUAUUAGGUGAUGGGCCUCUUCAUGGAGAUGGACGCUCGUGACCAUUCUCUGCGGGAGUCUGUGGAUCGCCGGGUUGAGGAGGCACGUUUGGAGGAAAAUCUGUCUGCCACCAGUGAUGCCCGGAGCAAUCUGGCCGCGGCCCAUGAGCAUGCCAAGUCCCUAGAGGCGGAAUUGUCUCACGCCCGGAGGGUUCUUAAGGAAUCUGAUGAGAGGGCAGCUGCUGCUGAGGCCCGCUGUGGAGAAGUCUUGAAGCAGUUGUCCUCCACGGUGGAUGCCCUUCGUGAAAGGGACGAGGCUAUGAACCAGAGGGAUGAGGCUCAGCGUCAGUACGAGGCCUUGAAGGCUGAUCUCGAAGGAGCUCAAGCUCGUUUUGACAAUAUGAAGGCUCAGAAGGAGGGAGCACUAGCUCGUGUAGAAGUUCUCGAGCAGGAGCUGAGUAAGAGCUCCGACCGUAUCAGAGAUUUGGCCUCAUCGGCAGAGGAAUCUAAACUUCGCAAUCAAGAGCUCAGCCAUGAGGUCAAGGCUUUGGAACAUAAAUGUUCAGCCCUACUCGAGGACGCCAGACUCGUUGAAGAUAGGAUUCAGCUGGAGUGUGAGAGGCGUCUGAGGGAGUAUAGGGAGUCCCCCGAGCUGAAGAAGGAGAUUGAGUAGGCCUGUGAAGCUCGUCUUUAAGCUUAUAAGGACUCUCCUGAGUUGAAGGCAAAGAUAGCUGAGGCUAGCCAGGCACAACUUGCGGAGUACAAAGCCUCUGAUGAGAUGAAGACGGCUGUUUGGCGAAAGGGCUUCCGUAUGUUCGUGUCUGGCUUCAAUCGAGGUUUAAGAGAGGCCAGACAGGCUCCUUCCAUUCCGCUAGCGAAGCUCUGAGCUACUGAGGUGGACUCUGAUGGCGAGGACGUUCUCUACGGAGAGGAUGACCUGCCCUUGCCUAAGGGAACUUCUCAUGCUUUAGCUGCAUCCUCUGAUAAGGACACUAAGCUAGGAGAAGAGGAUAAAAGGGUAGCAGAAGAUAUCGGGCCUCCCGGGCUGGAGGUUGUACUUUAUGUGGGUGAUGGGGGAUCUGAGCAAGAGGGCGCUAGACCUCCCACAAGCGGUAAUGCAGAUGCUAGUAUAGAGAAUAGCAAUGUAGAUAGUGAAACGCCUAGAAAUGUAAGUCCUUUGAGGACAAUCUUUCCUCCCAUAAUCUUAGAUGAUUAGAUUGUAAAUUUCCCUUCACCUUUAAUGAAAUUUUAUUUUUAUUUAUCAUUUAUACUUGAGUUGUUCUUACCUCUACUUGUCAAAAAUGAAACACUUGAGCGAUGUGCUUCGCAAUUUUUCUAAGGAAUCCACUGUACUGUUUUUCCUUUUUGCCUUUAAGCCCAUCAGAACUGAAAUUCUAUUAAUUGACUGAACUUUUGACUUAUAAAUUUAUCUAUUUCACUGAGGCAUUCUUAUCUGUAAGCUCUUUCCGAGCUGGACUAGCCGUACCCGUGAGCUCUGUUUUUAAUAGUAGGCUGAACUCUCGACAUACGAGUUUUUAUGAUUCUUGUAAAGACAUCCUCAUUUUUCUCUUAUUACUUCGUUACUAUGAGUUCGGGCACAUAGCCUUUGCUUAAUAAUAAUAAGUCAGAUCAUGUACCUUUAAAGGUGAUGAGCAGGGCUGGUCUUUUUGCUUUUAGUUUUGAUUUGACAGGAACUGAAGCCGAGGUCUCAUCUGCUCACGCCUUUGGAUUUCUCUUCGGGUUGCCCCUUUAUCUCCUCAGCAUUUAUUACAUGAGUGGUGAGGGGAUAAAUCUCUAGACUUUAUUUGUAACUGCGCGGCUUUAGUUUAGACGAUUUUACCUCUCCUUUUGGUUAUGAGUUCGGAUAUCUGGCUGUGUGCUCCACUGGUAUGGGGAGUUCAGCUUUUUUGUCGUUUUCCUCUCCCAGGGUCAUUUUUGCUAGGUGUUUGUUUACUGUGAGUUAAUCUGAGCUGUGGGCAGGGUCUCUUGCUUUUGUCGUGAGUUCGUCCAUUCAAUGGAUUAAGGAGCUCGGAUUUUUGCUCUGUGCUUAGGCUUUUGCGCUAUAGCUUUUGUGCUAUCUGUGUGACGGGCUCAGGAGUUCGGAAUUUCGUUUUCCUCACUGUGAAGUCAAUACUUAAUUUCUUAUUUUCUUGACGAGCCUUCUUCAGGCUGUGUUUCUGGGAUCCUAGCCGUUUUUGCUCCGGGGAGAUCUUAAAGAUCCCGCCGGCCGUUUUUGCUCCAGGAGAUCUGACGGGAUCCUGACCGUUUUUUGCUCUAGGAGAUCUGACGGGAUCCUGGCCGUUUUUGCUCCAGGAGAUCUGACGGAAUCCUGGCCGUUUUUGCUCCAGGAGAUCUUACGGGAUCCUGGCCGUUUUUGCUCCAGGAGAUUUUACGAGAUCCUGGCCGUUUUUGCUCCGAGAGAUCUUUGAGAUCCGCCGGCCUUGUACCUCCUUGAGGUUUUGCGUAAGAUUCGGGCUCAUUGGCCUUACUGUCGCUUCGUCACCUUAGCCGGUUUUGUGGUGCCGGGGGCCUUUUGGGAGCUCGGCCACCUACCUAUCUGAGGUCUUGGGCAUUUUUGCCUGUUUCAUUUUUCUUUUUUGUUUCUUUCAUGAAAACAAUGUGAGUAGAGACAAAUAAUGAAUAGGGACGAUAAUCAACUUCUAUUUUAUUAUCAUGCUUUAAGAUACAAUAGGUCUUUUACAUUUGACGAUACCUCAGAGGAAGUACCUUUUCAAGUGCUGAAUAUUCCAGGCAUAGGGCUCAGGGUUUCCCUUCAUAUCUUUAAUUCGGUAUGCUCCUGGCUUGACCACUUUUGCUAUUCUAAAGGGGCCCUCCCAGGUCGGUGCCAACUUGGUACGCUAAACUUGCAGAUGAUGUUCCCCCAACAAUCAUGUUGAUGGUUCCACUGGACCCAUCAUUCACUGGUCCAGCUCCCGCUCUCCUUGGUACUUGGGCUGCCGGAUUGGGCUGAGACCUUUGUCCCUCUGGUUUCUUCACGAAGUUCUUGAGGUGCCCCCUUUUUAUCAGCCUCUCGAUCUCUGUGAUUAACUGGAAGCAAUUAUUGGUGUCGUGGCCGUGCGUACGAUGGUACUGACAAUAUUUGUCAGGAUCUUGCUGGUUUGCUUCCGUUUUCAUAGGCCUAGGCCAUUGGAGGAACUCCUUGUCCUGGACGGCCAUGAGCACUUCGGCUCUAAAGGCGUUGAGUGGGGUCGGCGUCUCUGGAACCCACGGAGGGAGUGGCCUCUGUUCUGAGACCCGAGGAGGGAGAGGUCUUUGGUCCCUUCGCUCCCAGGGUUGUCUGUAAGGCUCAGGCCUCUUGCCAUGCUUUUUCUCGUGCCUCUCCGGCCUCCCUUCCUCCGGUGUUUUCCCCUUAUCUGUCGCUCCCUUGGCGAACCUGCUUGUCACCAAGGCGUCAUCCUGCCUUAUGUAUUUUUCAGCCCGCUUCAUCAGCUAGGCCAGUGAGGUCGGAGGUUUCCUGCUCAAUGAGCCAAAGAACUCGGCAGAGGUCAUCCCCUUCUGCAUGGCUUCCACCUCCCUUCCCUCAUCGAGCUCAGGAAUCUGUAGGGCCUCCGUAUUGAAACGGGCGACGUACUCCCUGAGCGAUUCGUCUCUCUUCUGCCUGAUCGUCUCCAGGUAGCUCGUCCUUCUAUCUGCGGGUACCCCGGCGAUAAACCGGCUGAUGAAACGAGUGGCCAGAUCUCCAAAACUGCUGAUACUUCCGGCUUCAAGGCUGUUGAACCACUCCCGUGCUGGCCUUGAGAGCGUCGUAGGGAAUACCUUGCACAUCAAGGCAUCUGACAAAGUCUGCAACUCCAUGAAGGUCUUGUAGUUCAAGACGUGCUCCCAGGGGUUCCCAGCUCCAUCGUACGCGGCCAUAGGCGGCAUCAUAAACUUCUUGGGAAUAGUUUCCUGCUGCACCCACUUCGAGAAGGGUGAAGAGGUGGGCAGGAGAGUCUGGUUCUGAUCCUUCGUUCCCAACUCAGCCAAGAGCUGCUCUCUCAUUUUUUGCAGCUUUUGGUCUAUACUUUCCUCCUCCUGCCUGGGUGUCUUCUCCAGGUGGUACUCCUCCUCUUCCAUUUCACUUCUCGUCCACCUGGUUGCUCCGGCAGAAUAACUGUCGGCCCCAUCGUUCUCAAUCAUCUCUCUCACCCUCCUUCCAUGAAUCCUGGCCUCCGGUUCUUCCUCUUCCCCGGCUCUUCUCCCCCUUUCUCCGGUUUCGCGGCUAACUGUUUGGGGAUGGUUGAGAGUAGUUUGAGGUUCAUUGGUCUGGGGCUCUUCUACCAUUGGUAAUACGUUUGCUGGGGUGCUAAGGCCCCGUUGCUGCAUUAUCUGCCCCAGCCAGUGGGCGGUGUUUUGUAGUUGGUGGGCGAUGCUUUGGAGGUCCUGAUUGGACAAGGUAGCGGCGGAAGCAUUCCCUGCCAGGCUUGGCGAGGGGUUGAAAGGGAUUGGUGUUUGGUUGUUUGGUGUUGUGGGGUUGAAAAAGGAGAACUGCUGCCCCUCUUGGGCAGAGCUCAGGUCAUUUGGAAUGACGUUGUUUUCGUUAUGGUUAGCCAUUGUGGAUCUCAGUGGGUAUUGUAAGAGUGGAACUCCGGUGAUGAAAAGAUCUCCUUCGGUCCCUACAGACGGCGCCAAUUGAUGAUCUGAGAUCCAGAAAAUAGGGUUUUACAAGGGUUCUGUAAAACUGGAAAAAGCUUAGACCUAGAGGAGAAUAUUUCUCCUUUUAUAUGUUUUCUUUUAUCCGCUAGUGACGUGUAACAGAACGUAUGUCAUUGGACCACCCGUCCCUGUCACGUUGAUAUGGACGUACGAGGAAAUCAGAUUGCUGCCCCAUGCGUAACGGCCCCUGAUUCUCCCGGACGCGCGUGUGGGUGGUCUCUUGUAAAAGGGGAGUAGGUCUCCUUCCUGAUUCCGGGCUAGGCCGGAAGAUAUGAUAUGGGCUGAACCCAGAGAGGAUUUGUUCAUCGGGCCCAAAGAACUUGGCCGGCCUGAUUGAGGAAAUCGGUGGGAGUCCGACCUCCAGACUGAGUGGACCGGACAUGAUGCAUAUACGAAGCUUGAGGGCCUCCAGAUAAUGGGCUGGUAUCGUGAACCUGGCUCCAGACCGGGGUGAAGAGAUCCAGCGAUCAUCAUUUAUAUUCUUUGUAAGAAUUUUAUAAUUUAAAGUUAUAAAAUAUAAAUUUAUUAGAAAAAAAUUUAAAUAUUUAUCAAUUUUCACCGUUAUAUCCUAAUCUUAAAAUAUUGAACAAUAAAAUUAAUUAUUUCAUAUUUACCUCAAUUUGUCUUAAUCAAUUUUGAUAAAAAAUUUGUAGUCCACAUAUCAUACUAGAAUUAUUUCUUAAAAAAUUUCUUAGAUAAAAAAUUAAACGUUUAUAUUAAUUUAUAUUUAUAUCCAAAAUUUUAAAUUUUUUAUAAUAAAACUAAACUUUUCUCAAUUUGUCACAAUUAUAACUAAAAAAACUAAAUUGAAUUUGAAAAAAGUUAAUAACAAAUAAUAAUAUAAUCCCUAAAAUUUUAUAUUAAUAAAUAUAUUGUCAUUUAAUUUAAAUUUUAUAUUAAAAGUAAAUUUAUUUUAUAUUUAUUAUAUGUAAUAUUAAAUAAAUAUUUGUCACAAAUAAAUUUUUACUACAUAAAAUAUUACAUAUAAAUAUUGUAUAUUAAAUUAUUUUAUUGAAUACUUAUACUCAUUAUUAUAAAUUAUGUGCAUAUUUGUAGUAUAUGAAAAAUUGUAUUUUAUAUUAAUAAUAUUAAAUAAAAUAAAAUAUUACAUAUUUUAUUAUGUAAAUCAUCCUUUUAUCAUUUUUAUAAAAAUUUAAAUAUAUUAAUCGCGUGUAUAAGUUAUUUGAGAUAUUUAAUAUUUUUAUUUUGAUCAUCUAUAUAAUAAUUAUAUUUGUGAUGUAUAUUAACUCAUUGGUUAAUCCGAUAAAAAAUUAUAUUUCAUAUUAAUAAUGUUAAAUAAAAUAAAAUAUUAUGUAUUUUAUAUUAUAAUUUUUUUAUAUUUUAAAUUUUUAUUAAUAUAAAAAUAGAAUGCGAAGUAAAUAUAAAAUUAACAAAAAAAUAUUGUUGAAAUAAAAAAAUAUAUUUUAAGGACUAUUUUAUUAAUCAAAUAAAAUUUUAUGGAUUAUAUUGUAAUUUUUUAAUAAUUUUUUAUAUUCAAUUAUUUUUAUUAUUAUAAUAGAGACAAAAUUUAAUUUAAAUUUUUUUUUUGAAAUGGAUAAUUUUAUUAUCUAAAAUAUAAAAUUUUUUAUAAGAAUAUAAAUUAACGUAAACGUUUUAAUUUUUUUUUAUUUAUUUAAAAGGCUUUUUAAGUAUAAUGACAUGAUUCGUGCAAUAAUUUUUUUUUCAUUAAAAUUAAUUAAGGUCUAUAACUAAAAUUAAAGUAACGUAAUUAAAAGGAUUAAAGCUUAGAAUAUAUUAAACAAUUUUGAUUUUAUCUGCCAACUAAAAUGAAAUAACAGUAGUAAUUUAUUGUUAUACUACUAAAUUCUCUUAUGUACUUUUGCAAUUUUUUCUUUUUUUUUUUUUUGUAAUUCUGUUAUUUCUUCUCUCAUUUUGUAUAUUUGUCUUUAUUAUUAAAUGAAUUAUUAAAAUUUAAUUUAGUGGUAAUAUAUAAAUAAAUUGAAAAUAAAAUUAUGGUAGAAUAUAUAAUUUAUUUAAUAACAUAUCUAUGAGAAUUUUUGCAUUAGUGCAAUUUUUGUUAAUAACUUUCUUUUUAUUUAUUAUUAUCAUAUAAAAUUUUUAUGUUUUUUAAUUAAAAAUUUCACGAAUUAAAAUUAUAAAAGGCAACACAAAAAUAUUAAAAAAUAUAAUUAUUAUCCAAACUCAAUAGUUUUUUUUUCUACAUAUUUCACUGUUUUAUUAUUUUAAAUGUCUUUUAUUAAAAAAAAUUGUGUUUCAACAAAAUUUAAAAUAUAUCCUUUAAAAUAAAAAUUUAAAAUAUAUCCUUUAAAAUAAAAUUUUAAAAUAUAUCCUUUAAAAUAAAAUUUUAAAAUGAAUUUAGUUAAGUAUAGAUAAAAAAUACAAUUCGGUACUGUAUUAAAUGGAAAAAUAAAGAAUUGUUUAAUAGAAUUAUUAAGCUGCUGAUCACUUUUCUUUGGUCUCCAGAAGAUGUGAUGGAUGUGGACUCGACUUUUAUAACCAUAAGUUGUUUGUAGACGAAACAAUAAAAUCGGUACAAUAGAAAAAAAAAAGAAAAUUUGCACUAGAAGGCAACAAGUGAUUAAGGAGGAAGUUAAUAAAUUAUUAAAUACAUAAUUAAUAAAAGAGAUCCAGUAUCUUACAUGACUUGCCAAUGUAGUACUUGUUAAAAAGGCAAACGGGAAAUGAAGGAUAUGCAUGGACUUUAUUGACCUAAACAAAGAAUGCCCAAAGGAUCAUUAUCCACUCCCAUCUAUUGACAGGUUAAUAGUCUCUACCUCGAGUCAUAUAAUGGUUUACUUUUUGGAUGUUAUUUCAGAUUACCACUAGAUCAUGAUAGACGUUGAAGAUACAGAAAAGACUGCAUUUAUCACCGAUGUAGGAGUUUUCUGUUAUAAGGUGAUGUCGUUUGGACUAAAGAACGUAUGGGCGACUUACUAAAUAUGGAUGAUAUGGUGGGAAAGAGUCGGUCCUUACAAGAUCAUCCAGAAGGUUUUUGAUGUGCUGGAUGAGGCAGGUAUGAAACUUAAUCCUGAAAAAUAUACUUUUAGGGUAAAAGCUGUGAAGUGUUUAGGGUACAUAGUGUUAGAAAGAGGUAUAGAGGCAAACUCGAAAAAAAUUAGUGCCAUUCAAAAUAUGGAGGCACCUAAACCAUCAAUGAUAUACAGAAGUUAAAUGGGUGGGUCACAGCUCUUGGCCGGUUUAUAUCAUGCUCGGCCAGGAGAUAUCUACCCUUCUUUAAAGCCUUAACGUAAAUUUAUUUGGAGGAAGAGUGUACAGAGGCAUUUGAAAAUUUAAAAACUUUUUUAGGAUCUUCCCCUUUACUAAGCUCGUCCGUCGAAUGUGAGGUUUUGUUUCUGAACGUGUCUGUGACAUAGGAAACUGUAAGUUCAGUGCUUGUUUCAGAGGACAAAGGGGAACAAAAUCUAGUCUAUUACGCCAACCAAGUCUUGAAGAGGGCAGAAUUGAACUAUCCCCUCUUGAGAAAUUGGCAUUUGUAGUCCUAAUAUCUACCACGAAGUUGCAUCCCUACUUUGAGUCAUACACCAUAAAAAUCAAAACAGAUUAUCUCUUGCGAAAGGUACUGCAUAGGUUGGAGCUAUUAGAGAGAUUGUCCACCUAGGCAGUGAUACUGUCAGCCUUUGAUAUCAGGUAUGUCUCGAGAAAAGCAAUGAAAGCCUAGGUAGUGGCUGACUUUUAUUACAGAGAUGACUCCGCCAUUAAAGAUGUCGAAAUUGCCUAAAUCGCCUACUGAAGAGUGGAAUGUUUAGGCAUAUGGUGCUUACAGAGCAGGGGGUUUCGAGAUUGAAAUUCUCCUACAAAGUCAAACGGGAAUAAAGCUACGCUAUAUGGCAAAAUUCGCCUUCAAUCCUACUAAUAACGUAGUUGAGUACGAGGCUGUGAUUAUGACCCUAAAAAUUAUCUCGAAAAUAGGUAUAUAAAAAUCUAUUACUUUUAGUGACUCACAGUUGAUUGUUAAUCAGUGUCAAGGACAGUUUAAAAUUCAAGAAUCGAAUCUUGCCAAGUACGAAGAGAAUGUUUGCUCCUUAAUGGCAAGGAUCAAAGACUGGUAGGACAAUUGCGAGCUUCACCAGGUGGCUAGAGGUGGCAACAAAAAGGCUGAUUUUCUGGCCAAAAUGGCUGCAGUAGAUGAACAACACUUAACUCAACCAUUUCCUUUCGAAGAGCUACACACUCCUGCAACUGAUGAGGAAAGGUCUUUUCCCAUAGAGGAAGAAAAAUCGUGAAUGACACUCGUGUAUAAGUUUUUGACACAGGAUAAUUUGUCGGCCUAUGAAUUAUCAGCUAAACGGAUAAUAAGAAGAUCCUCUAAAUAUGCACUAAUUGAUGGUUGGUUGUACAGGAGAUCCUCAAACUAACCAUGGCUACAUUACGUAACAAAAGAUGAGGGUCGGGAAAUCCUUAAAGACAUUCAUGAAGGUGAUUACGGAAGUCAUGAAGGGGCUCGGAGGAUCGCUCGGAAAGCAUUUAGAAAGGGAUACUACUGGCCAAAGAUAAUGCAAGAUGCAAAACAACUUGUCCAAAAGUGUCGACAAUGUCAAGUACAUGCGAGCAUUCCAAGGACCUUGGAGAGAUGCAAGUAGUGAUUGAAAGCUCCUUACCUUUCUUUCAGUGGGGGUUAGACAUCCUUGACUCUUUCCCAAAAGCAACUAGAUCAAGAAAAUUUGUAAUAACAGCAGUGGAUCAUUUUAGCAAGUGGGUUGAAGCUGAGGUAGUUUAGUCUAUUACCACCCAACAGGCAAUGUCUUUCAUCAGCAAAAACAUCUUCACUCGGUUUGAAAUUCCAAAGGUAGUAAUCACUGACAAUGGGACUUAGUUUGCGAGUUCUAAAUUUAAAUAUUUCUAUAAAAAAUGGGAGAUUGACUUAAGAUUCAGUUUAGUCUAUCACCCACAGACCAACGGAAUGAUUGAGAUUACAAAUAGGAUUAUCCUACAAGGGCUGAAGAGAAGAGUCGAUAAAGCCAAAGGCAGCUGGCCUGACGAGUUGCCCCAUAUACUCUGGCCAUAUAAAACAACUCCAAGAAUAACCACAGGAAAAACUCCUCUCUCUGAUGUAUGGGGUCGAAGCAGUAAUUCUUAUGGAGGUCCAAGUAAGCAGUUUUAGGAUACAACACCCUGAAAUUUCAGAAAAUCUUAAAGAAAUGCAAUUCAAUUUGAAUCAAAUCAAAUUUUUACGAGAAUAAGUUAUAAUCAAAAUGACGAUUUAUAGAAACAAAAUAUUUAGAAUGUUCAACGGUAAAGUCAAGACACAUGUUUUUAAUGUAAAAAUUUAGUUCUUAAAAAAAUAAAUAUAACAUAAGAUAGUGUUGAAUUCGGUAAAUUAGACGAAAACUUAAAAAGAUUAUUUAAAAUCUUAAGGUUAUUCGCCUAAAGUUUUAUAACUUAUAUUUUCAAAAGCACUAUAUCGAGUAGGGGUGAGCAUUCGGUCGGUUCAGUUCAAAAUCGAACCGAAUCAAAAUAACUGAAAAUCGAAUUGAAUAACUUUAUAAAAACCGAACCGAACCGAAUAAGAGGGAUAAUCGAAUCGAACCGAAUCGAUCUGAUUCAGUUCGAUUCGGUCGGUUCAAUCGGUUAAACUGAUUUUUAACCUUUUCUUUUUUUUUUAAAUGGGAUUUUUAAGUUCAGUUAUCUCGAUUUCGAACCGAUCUUAUUCGAUUCGAUCGGUUCAAGUCACACAACAGCACAUGACAGCAGCGACAGGCGACGGCCGACGAUUGCGCGGAGAGAGAGACUAGAGAGCGACGGAGGAAUGAGGCAAGGAGGAGUCGGUGUCGCUGGGUCACGCAGCCGGAGGAAUGAGGCAAGGAGGAGUCGGGUCGCUGGGUCACGCAAUCGCAAUGUACAAGCUGAGUUACCCGACGAUGAUCAAUCAGUCAAUGUCACCGGGAAGAGAGUGGAGGUUGGACAGUGAAAGUGCCGUUGGAAGUGGUGGAUGGAUAGAGGCACAGGCGGCAUGGAAUCUGGAGAAGGGGGACAACGUGACUCUGUGUGGGAUGUGGCAGGCGAGAACGAGAGGAGAUGACUUUUAGAUCUAGAGCAAAUAAAGGAACUACUGAAAACGACGUAGUAUUACUGAUUUCGGUUCGGUUCAGUUUAAUCGAAAUUUUUGAAUUCAAAAUCGAACCAAACUGAAAUCACUGAUUUUUUAAAAAAUUAAAUCCGAACCGAACCGAAUAAAAAAUUAAAAUCAAACCAAAUUUUUGAAAUUAAUCGGUUUGGUCGAUUAUUUCGAUUUAAACCAAAUACUGCUCACCUCUAAUAUCGAGCGCUUUUAAAAACACCAUGGUAUUUUUAAUAUUUUUAUUUUGAAAGCUUUUUUUUCAGUAUCAUUUUUAUAAGAUAAUAUCAUUUUAAUAAAUUAUUUUAAAUCUACUCUAAACUUCUAAAAAGUUAUUUUAAAAAAAUUAUUUUAAUAAUUAAUCCGACUUAUAACGGCGAGGAACAAGUUAAGCAUGCAUACUUUUUGUUUCUAGCGAGUAAAAACAGGGAUACAUAUCAUUUUCAAAUAAUUAAAUAAAUAUCUAUAGCCCAAAGUUAAAGGUAAACUACAAAUAUCUCCUUUGAGGGACAAAAAAAAAUAUCUCUCCUUUGAGGAAAUAAAAAAAAGACAAGCAUCUCCUGGACCAAAAACAUUUCUCAUCUUCUCUCUGAAGAGGAAGUAAAAUGUCUGCUGCAAUCCUUCCAUCUUCGUACUCACCUUCUGCUUCAAUCCUUCCAUCUUCGUACUCACCUUCUGCUUCAAUCCUACCUAAUAAAUUCACUUCGAAACCAUUCACUUCCUUCCCUGCGAAUUCUAAGAAACUGCGUCGCAGCUCUGCGACAUGUCGUAGACCUCCUGCUGCUGUUUCUUCUUCAAUCACAGAUUUCGAUCUCUAUG